UUUAAAUAAAAGUAGUUCACAAUAAUUUAUUAUUUAAAAAACUCCCUGAAAUUUAAAAUUAUUGUUAUAAGUAUACCAUUAAAUCAUACAGAAUUUAAUUUUUCUUUCAAAUACUACAGUUAAUAAGGAAAGAGAAUAUAGUACAUAUCAAUAAAACUUUUAAAAAAGAAAUAUUGUUUGUAAUACCAAUUUUUUCUGCCCGGGCCCAUACAAAAUAAAAUACAGCAGGCCCAUCUACAGACCAAACCCAUAUUCAAAAAAAAACCUAGGCUAAGAAGCAGCAAGCUUCAGCCGCACGCCCAACAGCAGCCUCCCUAACCGCCGCCGCAUCCUCCGCGCACAUACACCUCUUCCACGGCCUCCAUACCUACGAGAAAAGCGGAUCCAAACAGCAAUAGACGCAGCCAAUAAUGAAAUAGGAUUUUUUACUUUUUUUUUGCUGUAAUUUUGGCUAUAAAAAGCCAUCAAAAAUCUGUAAAAAAGGGGAGGGAUUUUUGGAGUUUAAAAGAUACGAAAUAGAGGGAAAGAACAGAGAUCGAACUUGUUUUUUUUAAAGGUUUUUUUCGUUUUACUUUGCAGUGCCUAUUGUUUUUAUUUCCAUAUUUUUUUCUUUUAUUUUCAUUUUGUUUUAUUUAAAAUAACAAAGGAAAGAAAGAAGAGGGGAAGAUCUUACCUCUUUCGCCGGAGCUGACGAGCCGUUGCCACCACCGACGAUUGGGCCGUGGCGCAUGGGAAAUGGCGGCGCAAGGACGCUAGGAGUCCAAACCUAGCAGAGCAAAACAGGGGGGGAGGGCUUUGUUUUUUUCUCUUCGGUUGUAAUUAAUUUUGAAAGAAAAAAUUUGUUUUAAAUAACAAAAGUGAAACGGCGCCGUUUUGAUGGCCAGACCCGCGCGUUCUGGCUUUAAGUGGGAAAUUUUCGCUUUCAGUCCCUUCUUUUUGCGACACGUUUCAAUCAAGCCCAAUUGUUGUUUUUUAAAUUUAGCCAUGUACUUUAUUUUUUGUUUCAAAUUGGCCCUUUGUUGCGCAGCGCUUUGGAGGGUGGGAUUAAUUUCCCUUUAGGUCCCCAUGGUCGUUCGCGCGUUCAAGUUGGUCCCUUUUUGUUUAUUCUCGAAUUUACCCCAUUCUUUUGUCUUUAAGUUCAAUUUAGUCUAUUUUUUUUGAACUAUUCAACUUUUUUUUUUUGUAAUUAUUAUAUUAUACCAUCAUUAUUUAUUAUUAUUAUUAAUACUAUACUUAUUAUUUUUCAUGAACAUACGCAUUUUAUAUAAUAUAUGUUCUAAUUUCAAAAAACGUUUUACUUUUGUAAAUGUUAUUUUAAUUUCAAAAACGUUUUCCGCUUUUUGUAAAUAUAUAAUUCUAUAUUUUAUUAUAAAUAUUUUUUUUCCUCUAUUUUACAAAUGUAUAUAUAUAUGAAUCUACAUACGCAUUUUAAAAUACGCAUGCACCUUACAUAUCUAUAUAUAUAUAUUUUAUUCUACUUACAUAAUUUUUAUAUACAUUUAUAUUUGAUAUAGAUAUACAUUUUUGUAAUAUAUAUAUUUCUCAUAUGUUAUAAUUCAAAACAUACAUUUAUACAUUUUCUAUAAUAUACAUACACUUUCCAUUUUUUAAUUAUUGUAAAUAUUUUUUUUGUUAUUUCAUGUAUCCCAUUAUUUUAUAUACAUAUUGUACAUAUAUAUAUGUAUUUGAAUAUAUACGUAUACGAAUUUUCGUGAUUUACCUAUGUAUAUAUACUUAUAUAUUUUAUUUUUCUAUUUUGUAAAUAUAUACACAUCUACAUGUUCUUUAUUCUAUUUUUACAAUUUUCAUUACAUGUAUACAUGCAUAUUUUUUAGAAAUUAUUAUAAGUUUGUUGUAUAUAUUUCUUCACUUGCCUUUUUAUAUGUACACUUAUAUUUAUGUGUUAAGUAUGCGCCCCCUCAUAUUUUCGAAUUUGCUUGUAUAUUGUACUUGUAUAUAUAUUGUAAAUACAUAUUCAUAUACGUUUUACAUUAAAGUUUUGUUUCACAUUGUACCUUAACCUUAACAUACCCUUUUGAAAAUAUAUUUUGGUUUUAACCAUUCAUCAAGGUUAUUUUCUUGAUUUAAAAGUUUUUUUUUUGAAUAAAAGCAUUAUUUGAGGUUUGGGAUUUUCGAGGGAAAUUGAGCCCUAACGUAUUGGGUUCUGAUUUUCUUUGUCAAUCUUAAAUGAUCGAGAAUACUCUUUAUUCAAAAUGCAUUAGUAUAAAAAUCAUUUUUGGGAACUUAACUUGUUGUGCCCUAACGUAUUGGGUGUGGCCAGUUACUUUCUCGAAAUGAAGAUUUUCGCAUAAAAUAAAAGUGAUAUUCAAAGUUCGGGGAUUAUGAGGAAUCGUACCCUAACGUAUUGGGACUCGAUUUCUUUACAUGACUUGAACAAUUGGUUAUCCUUUUGCAAAUUUCAUCAUUCAAGCUUAUUUUAAAAUCUUUUUUAACUUUCGACACUAAGACAUCAAAUAAUCAAUUUGGUACCGAUUUUGGGCGUUACGAGGGUGCUAACCCUUCCUCGUGCGUAACUGACUCCCAGACUCGUUUUCUCAAAAUUCGUAGGCCAAAAUAAUUUUUUUAAAAGGUGGGCCGAUCACACCUUAGUAAAAGAAUCGGUGGCGACUCCAGUUUUAUUUUUAAAAGUCGACAACUAAAUUUUUGUUUUCAAAAAAACGGUUUCGACAUUGUUUAAUUAGUUAAUUUAAAAAUCAAUAGAGUCUAAAAACGGUCAGAAUGAAAUAUUAGAUUUUAUAAGAUUUCAUUAUUCUAAAAAAUAAAAUACGACAAUGCUUAAAAAUUUUAUCAAAAAAGUUUUAAAUUUUAUAUAAAAUUAAAAAAAACAGUAUUAAAAUUUUUUAUAACAAAUUUAAAUAUUAAUUAGUAAAUUAUUUUUGUAAUAUUUAUAUGUAUUUUCAUUUUUAUAAAUACUAUUAAAAUUUAUUAAAAAAAUUGAAUGCUAUUUAAAAACAUUAUUAAAAAAUAAAAUAUUAUAUGAAAGUUAAAAUGACCUAAAAACAUAUUUUAAAAAUUUAAAUACUUUAUACAAUAUUUAAAACUGUUUAAAAAUUUCUAAACCCUAAAAAAUCAAUAAAAUAUAAUUUUUUUUCUAAGAAAUCAAUAAAAAUAUAUUUAUAAUUGAACUGUCAACAAAAUUGUGAGAAAUAUUUAAAUUUUAUGAAAUUUUAAACUUAAACUGUCAAUAAUAGAAAAUUACCUCAGUGACUUGGGAUAAGAAGUUCAACAUUUAUGGAUCACAUCGUUAUGAUCGAUCGUAGGCCUUUCGUGGGGUCGAUAUAUAAUCAAAUAGACUGUAAAUUAUGAAAUCCGGUGAACUAAUACUAUAAAUUCUGAUAUCUAUUCAUAUAUUUGAGAUGUUAUUUGUUAAAUAAACCUUGUAAUAGGCUAUGAGAAACUUGAGAAAUAUUAUGUAUGCUUUGUAUCUGUUAUGUCAUACAUGUAUAACUGUAUUAUGUCCGAUUCUGUUCUAUUCUUUUCUGUAUUUGCAUCUGGGGUGGGUUAUAUUAUGUGGAGGAAGUGUUUCUUUGAAUGGCGAUAAUUCGCCUAUUACACUGGCAGCUCAGCUACAAAUAUUCUGAAAAGUGUCAUAUCGACACUAAGUGGUGUGUAGGGCUGGAUGAGUGUUUCAUACCCCAUAUGGUGUGUUGGGAUGGUCGGAACUAGUGUGUAGCGGAUGGGGUAGGAAUAUAUGUCUGUAUUUGUACUGCUCUAAUAUGAAUAUGUUCUGCUAAAUCUAUCUGAUAUAAAUUAACUGUUUAAAGUUAUUCGUUAUACAUUGAGUUUUGUAAACUCACUUUCUGUUUGUUUGAUAUUUUUUGGUAAUCCUCUGACUUUGACAAAUCGGUGCGAAAGAGCUCAGUUAAAUUGAUUUAGUUUCAUUAUCUAUUAUAAUUAAAUUUUGGGUUAUUGUGUUUUAUUAUUUUUGGACUGUUGGGAAUUUUUGGAUUGUUUUGGUUUUUGAGAUUUUAUUUUCAAUUUUUGCAUGAUACUAUUAAAAAUGUUUUAUCGGAAAUGUUUGUUUUCUUGCGAAACAACUGAUUUCAGAAAAAUAAACUUAGUUUUCCAAACAUAAUGAUCUAAGAAUUUCCACUGCUAAUAAUUCAUUUUAGAAAAAGUAAGCAAACAUCGUUUCAACUAUAAAGUUAAGUUAGAUGUAUUUUUCUCUUAAAUUGAGGUUUAAGUAAUAAAAGUUUACGACAUUUUUCCAAAUUGUACAAAAAAUUGGAUUUACAAUUGUUUUAUAUAACAUCUCUAGAUUUGGCCAUAGCGUCUAGUUGGAUUUCGGGUGUUAUAUUUAGUGAUAUCAGGUCAGGUUGCAAAACUUAGGCUGUGAAAUUUUCGGUUCAAAAUUUUGUGAAAACUAUUUUUCGAGUAAAGUUUGUCGAAACUACUUUUUGGAAACAAAAAAUAGCGUUGACUUAAAAUAUGAAAAUUGGAGUCGCCACCAAUCUUUUUUAUUUAGGUGUGAUCGGAUCACCUCCUAAUUUAAUCAUUUUAAUAAAAGUUAAAAUUUACUAAAACGAUAAUUUUUGGUCUACAAAAUUCAGAAAAUGGGUUCAGGAGUCGGUUACGCACGAGGAAGGAUUAGCACCCUCGAUACGCCCAAAAUUGGUACCUAGUUGAUUAAUUAAUGUCUUAAUGCUGAAUAUCAAAAACUCGAAAAGAUUAAAAAUACGAUCUUUUUAUUAAAAAACUUGUAUAAAUCAAAAUGUGUGCUAAGACCCCCUUAUUUCGGGAGAUAGAAUGUCACAUCCAAUGAGUGAGGAUGUGAUGUUUCGCAACCUCAAAAAUGAGAUUGUCUUUUGAUUUUUAAAACUCAUGCAGUGAAGUUUAAAAAUGAUAUUCAAUUGUUUAAGUCAGAUGAAAAAUCGAAGCGCAAUAUGUUAGGGCACAAUUCCUCAAAAUUCUAAAUAUUGAAUAUUGCCUUUAUUAUUUUUUAGAAAAAUCCUCAUCUUGAGAAAACAACAUGUCAUAUCCAAUGCAUUAGGACACAACGUAUCGAAUUCCUGAGAAUGAGCUUUUUAUUUAUGUGUUUUGAUUAAAGAAUAUUCCCAAUUAUUUAGAUUCAACGAGGAAAAUUGGAACCUAAUACGUUAGGGCUCAAUCCUCUCGAAGAUCCCAAAUACCGAGUAUUGCGUUAUCUUGAAACCUUUUGAAUAAAAUGAUUCCCAAAACUUAAACCAUAUUAAACAUAAUUUUUGAGCAAAUAAAGCAUGAUGGAAAUGAUAAUAUGCAAUGCGAAGUAAUAAUUCGUAAGCCAAAAAAAAAUACUCUAAUGGAUGACAAAUAAUCAAUAAGUACAAGUAAGCGAUACAAUACACAUAAGGGCAAUAGUCACAUAUUAUGUAAAUACAAACAUUAAUCUUUGCAAGCUAAUCUAAAAAAAAUACCAAACAAAUUAACAAAUAUGAAAUGUGACAAGUUUUUGAAAUAACUAAAAAACAAACAACAUGUAAGAAGGGAAAUUAUAAUCAAUAAAUUAUAUUUACAAAAAUGAAAGUUUGAAAUAAAUCAAAUAGUAUUAAAAAUAAAUACUACAUAAAAUAAUAGUAUUUAAAUAAAUUUUAAAGUAAAUUGUAUAAGUAGAAAAUCAAAAUAAAUAGUACACAAAAUAACAUACAUAUAUUAAUCUAAACAAGUAAUACAUGAAAACUUAAUAUAAAUUAUAAUGUAUGCAUAUAAUAAUGUAUAUAAAAAAGUUGAGAUAAACCAAGUAUAUAAUAAAAUAGGGUUUUAAGAUAUAAAUUAUGUAUAUAUAAAAAUAGGUUUUUAAAAAAUAUAUAUAAACACAUUUGAAAGAAAACUUAAAGUUAACAAUUAUAAUAAUAUGAAAUCAAUAAUAUAUAUAUAGAAUAAAAAUACUUUAAUAUAAAUUAUACAUGUAUAUAAAAUAGUAUAAUAAAAAUAUUUUUAUAUAAAUCUUCAAAACAUAGAAAUAUAUAAAGUGAAUUUUUUUAAAAAAUAAAUUAAAAAUAAAAAUCAUUAAAAAUAUAUACAUUAUAUUGGAUUUUAAAGAAUAAUACAUUAUAAAAUUAAAUGAUAAUAUAUGACAAUAAUAUAAAAACCUAUAGUAGAAUAAAAUUACGUAUAUAAAAAGGUUAGACUAAUAUAAAAAAGAUAAUAAUAGAUUAAUAUUAAACCCAUUAUUUUAAUAGCAAAAAUCACAAAGCAAUGGACUAAUUUGUAAUGAAAACAGAAACUUAAGGGCAAAUCUGAAAUAAAUAAAAAGAAAAGGAUCGGAUCAAAACACGCUAUACAAGCGGAGGGACCAUUUGCGCAAAUAUCUCUCUGAAGCAAAAACAUGCGGAUCCUUCCCCUAGGUUGGGUCACCGCGCGGGUCAAAACCCACCAAACAGCGUCGUUUUGGCGCUAUGGACCUUAGCUCAAAAUGGCGCCAUAUUAUACUAUUAUUUAAACAAAACCUUCUUUUUUUAAAACAUUUGCAGCCUGAGUUUAAAAAAAAAAUUUGCUGCUCAUGUUCUCUGCUAGGGUUUCAACGCUAGUUUCACGAGGCCGAAAGCUCCGCCGAUCUUCGGCCUUACAGCCCUUGCCCGAACUUUGACUGUGACGAAGCGAACAAGGAUCCAAUCGGCGCUAACACUGAGGUAAAUCCCUUCCCUCUUCUUUAUUUUUAUUUUACAAACAUUAACAAUAAUAAACGAACAUCGAAGAAACAGAAAAGAAAAAAGAAAUCAAAAAGAAAAAAAAUCAGAUUUCAAAUCACCUCACAAAAAUUUAAUUGCUUUCUGAUUUCUUUGGUAUCUUUUUUUUACUUAUUUCGUAUUGUUCGCGUAAAAAACUUACGAAGGUCUUUUCUUCUAUUUUAUAGCCAAAAUCUAAAAUAUAUAUAUAAUAUAUGUUUUUUUCUGUGCUAUUUUUUCGUCCUAUUUGCAGGUAUGAAGACCAGCUGGCAGUGUACGGAGGCGGUGGUGCAGCACGCGCUUGGCUGAGGCGACUAGAGGCAUGCGGCGGCUGGGUCUGCUGGGGUUUAAUUUGGGCCUGGGAUUGGGUUUGAUUUAAUGGGUUUGAUUUUUGGGCCGUAAAUGGGCUUUUUAAUAUUAGACUUUUAUUUUUUAUUUGGAUUAUUAUUAUUUUUUGUGUAUGUGGGUCGGGGCAGAAAUUGGGCUCUACAAAUUUCAUUUCUGCAUUAAUCUGAAAAUUAAUUAUGUGAAAUAUCGAGUCUCUGACGUUGAUCCUGUAAGUACUUCUGACUUAGAUAAACUUUAGUUUUAGAAAACUCUAAAAUUAUUAGAACUGUACUUGGAUAGUUAGAGACUGAAACAUCUCUAUAAAUUCUUUUGAUAACUUUUUGAGUAUAAAAUGUUUGCUAAUAAAUACUAAAAUUGAUACAUAAAAUUCGUAAUAUAGGUAAUAUAUACGAUGAGUACUCGUGGAACACAUGGACGUGGUAACCGUAGGCAUGGCGGGCGCCGAAGAGAGGCUCGAGCUGAGUCAUCCUCGAUGGGUACCUGAUAGGCUAUUGUUGGAGAGAGCAAUAGUCUUGAGAGAAGAAAUUUUGAAGAUCAAAGUCAAAAUCUGACAUGUAAGGCCUUUAAUUGCUUGAAUAAUAAGCAUUUCCAAACUAAAAGGAUUACGAUUUCUUCAAGAAUUUGACCUGCAGACAUAGUUGAAACAUCAAGGUGUUAAAUUACCUAUUUUGUUAGUGUAAAUCAAAGAGGCUUUUUAUUUUUUUUUUCGUUGUGAAAUAAUAUGGAUAUGUUAGAUUCUAAUCAUAUUUAAGUAUAUAUUAGUUCUUGAAGAGUUCUUAUUUUUUGGUAUUUAUAUUGCAAAUAUUUUUUUUAAAAUUAAGAAAAAAGGGGGGGGGGCAAAUGUGUAUAAACUACAGACAUCAAGGAGAAGGCAUACCUUCUAGGUUAUUUAACCCCAAGUAUAAUUGUUUAAGUUGUGUCAAAUUCCCAAUGCUUUUUGGAAUGAUCCCACUAAAUUGAUUAACAGACAAUUCCAAAAUUUGAAAGUUGCAGCAUUUGUCUAUACUUGAUGGAAUAGAACUUGAUAAUUCAUUUCUACUGAUCAAGUAAAGCUCUUUAAGCUUGGGAAGAUGGACACACAAAUCAUCGGGCAAGCCACCAGAAAGACUAUUAUCACGAAAAUGAAUCCUUUUCAAAGAAGAAAUGUUAAAGAUGGAAGAUGCAACCUGGCCAGGUAAUUGAUAAAACUUUGACUUAAUCCUUUAAAAAAUGUAAAAAUAUAGGCUAUUAAAAUGGUAAAAUUACAUUUUUACUAUUGUAAAAAUUACAAUUUAAUUUCACUCCUAAAAAGAUUUUCUGGCUUCGACCCUAAUAAAUUCUUUGGCAAAAGAUUAAAAUAAAAUUAUACCGUAAAUGAAAAAAAGAAACUAAGAAAAUCCAAUCUAACAAAGAAAAUAACUUGAUGUCCAAAAGCUACCAUAAACCGUAAUUCAUGGGAAGGCUUGUUGCUCAUUUUAUUGGUUUCCAUUUUGAUUUUGCAAAAGAAGUUUGAAUUUUGAAGAGAGCCUACUACGUGAGAGCAAAAGAAAAAAAAUAGUUUAUAUGAUUAAAAUUCCAGAAUAGAUUAAAAAUGUUGAAUUAAAGAUAAAAUUACUCACCAUCUCUGUUAAAAAUGUUGGAUGUUGUUUAGCAACCUUUGUUUGAUUUUCUUCAGCUCAACCACAACAUCUUUCAUAUCUUUUCUUUCUUCUGGCAACUCAGCUGAACAAUUCAAAGCCAACUCCAUGAUAGAUGAAAUACAAUUUGCUUUAACAACAAUGUACUCAUCCUCUCUUCUUAAUAAAUCAACAUCUGCAAUUUCUAUCGCUCCUUUAGGCAAUGAACUUUCCAUCCAAUGCCUUAUAGUCUCUUCUUCAACAAAAGCAUUAUCAGUUGGCUUUUUCUUUGUGAAAGUUUCUAUAAGGACGAUCCCAUAACUAUAGACGUCAGAUUUUAUAGAAACAACUCCUGCUGAUCCAAAUUCUGCAUUUCAAGUAUAAUUAGAGCAUCGUUCAUCCUCAAUUAUUUCUAAAAUGCUUAUUCAAAUAUAUAUCCACAUACACAUGAAACAAAAAUAUAAAAUGCAAAUUAGGAAAAUAAUCAUACAAAAAUAAAAAAAGAAUUCACCUGGUGCCAUAUACCCGAUAGUUGCAAGAGUCAUGGUUUGCUUCAUUACUUCACCUUCUCCCAACAAUUUGGCAACGCCAAAAUCUCCAACAUGUGCAACCAUGUCUUCAUCUAGUAAAAUAUUGCUUGGUUUUAUGUCACAAUGAAUUAUAGGUGUUGGAUGUCCAUUGUGGAGGUGUUCUAUAGCUACCGCAACAUCUAUCAUUAUCUCGACCCUUUGUAUGAUAUCAAGGAAACAAUUUUCAGAAUGUAACCAUUUAUCAAGGUUUCCAUUAGACAUGUAACCAAGCACCAAGGCUUUGAAGUCAACACUUGAGCAGCAAGUAAUGACCUUCACAAUAUUACGAUGAACUAUAUUACGCAUAGCAUCACAUUCAAUGUCAAAACUCCUAAAUGCUCUCUCUGUUUGCAAAUUGAAAACUUUUAUUGCAACUUCCAUUCCAUCUGAAAGCCUCCCUUUAUAUACAUAUCCAAAACUCCCUGAACCAAGCAUAUUGCUUUCCUCAAAUCCAUUAGUUGCUCGUGAAAGUUCAGCAUGUGAAAUUCUUCUCGGUGUCUUCAAAGACAACAAAUCAUCUUUAACUGGUAGAGUUGUACUCCUUUGGCAUCUUCUAUACAUAAUAGUUAAGACUAUUAGUACUACGACAAUACCAAUUGUUGGUAAACCAUACCUAAAAGCAUGCAAUAUAAUCAUUUGGGAGUUUUUGUGGAUGUCGUUUUUGCAAGGUGGGACUAGCAAUCUAGGUGGACCACAAAGUGCACAAUUCUUCAUGAAUGAUGUGCUAGAAAUGUUUGAAAAACAUCCUUUGCUGGGAAUUUCCCCUUCAAGUCUAUUGAAAGACACAUUAAAAUACUUUAGAUAUAAAAGCUGUUCCAAAGAUUUGGGAAUGACUCCAGAGAAAUUGUUAUUGCAUAAAUCCAAGAAUUCCAAACUAAUCAACCCAUCAAAUGAUUCAGGGAUACGACCAUGUAGUAUAUUAUUUGAUAAAUCUAAUGAAACCAAAGUUUGAAGACCCCCAAAUGUGGAUAAGAUAUCGCCCAUGAGAAGAUUCCUUGAUAAAUUUAGUCUCAGUAGACUCCUAAAAUUUCCAACAUCAAUAGCAUGUGAAUUGUGAAGACGGUUUGAUGAUAAAUCUAUUUCUAAGAUAUCUUUAAGACUCCACAAAGUUGAGGGUAUUGUAGAACUCAAUUUGUUGGAAUCUAACCAAAGAUAUCUCAAAGCAGAAAUAUUACCUAAACAAGAGGGUAUGGAUCCAUGCAGCUUAUUCAACCCUAAAUGCAUCCCGUAUAGUCUCUCCAAACCACAGAGGCUUUCUGGGAUAGGCCCUCCUAAUUUAUUAGAGGAAAGAUCUAGACCUUGCAGAUUCCGCAGUCCUCCUAUUGAUGCUGGAAUGAAUCCACUUAAUUUAUUAUGGCCAAGUUCUAAAACCAAUAAGUUGGUUAAGUUACCUAUUUCCAUAGGAAUAAUGCCUUGAAGCUCACAAUUAUAGGCAAGAAAGAAUUGAAGGGAUUUUGAAAGGUUCCCGAUAUAAGUAGGAAGAACACCACUCAAUGGAUUUCCUGAAACUCCUAUGGCUUUCAAAUUCCUACAAUUCGUCAAAGAAGAAAGAAAGCUCCAGUCAUGAUCAGUAGCAGAUCCUGUGAUCAAAUUAUUGUCAAAGAUUUUGAGCACUUCAAGGUGUUUUAAGCUGCCUAGCGUUUUAGGGAUUGGGCCAGAGAAUAAGUUAUGUGACAAGGAUAGAAUCUUAAGCAUGGAAGCAUUGGAGAUAGAGUUGGGAAUGUUUCCGCUAAGUUUAUUUCCCCACAAUAAAAGAAUCUCAAGCUUUGGAGCAUUGGUGAUGGGUGGUAAAUUACCUGUAAAAUAGCAUCUUUUAGUAUACAUAUUCACAAAAUAUAUAAUACAUUAAAAUAAAAACUGUAAAACUUUAAAUCAAUUAAGAAUAAAAUUUUGGCAUGGAAAAAUGUGAUGAAAUCAAUUAGAAAGUUGAGACAUAAUAAGAAGUUUUGAGUACUAAUUAGUCUUUGUGAUUUGUAUAGACAAAACAUAUAAUACACUAAUAAUUUUUUAAAAUAUUGUAAAACUUGAAAUAAAAUAAAAAUAAAAGUUUGGCAUGAGAAUGUGGCAUCUAAUCAAUCUUAAAAAUGAGACUCACACUGAAUAAUAAUUAGUUAUGAUUUGGGAAACAAAAAUGUUAAAGCCAUUGUUUUUAAUGUAAACUGGUAUGAUUCUUAUCUAUUGGGUUAAUUAUUUAUUUUUAUUAAAUUAUAGUGUAAAAUUUAAAUAUUAUUAUUUGCUCAAAAUUUUUGUAUUUUUCGUAUAUUUGAAAUUCAAUCUUUAUAUUUUUUAUUUUCUGUGAUUUAGUCUCUCUACUUUUUUUAUUAAAAAUUUUAGGUUCAUUUAUUAACACUGUUAAAAAGUUUUUGUAUUAGUAUGACAUUUUGAAAAAUAAAAUAAACUUGAUAUCUAUGUUUUUAAUUAUUCCAAAUAUUGUUUUACUAUUUCAAGAUAAAUUAUUUGUGUCUAGACCAAUAUCUUAAGAACUAUUGUUGCAUGUUUAAUUAUUCUAAAAAAUUAUUGAUUGAGUCUUAGCUUGAUUGGCAUGUGCAUUGUUGCCAAUAUAAGAGAAUGUGGGAUCAAAUAUGCUGAAGUUCAUUAUCCUCCUAUUAUGAAUUGGGGAGUUGGUAAAGUAUUAAAUUUUGAUAUAUUUUAAAAUAUUAAAAAUUUAUUAAAAUAUUUUUUAUAAAAAUCGGUUGUACCACAAUAUACAAUUUUAAUAUCAAAUUUUUAAUAUUUUUAAAAUAUUAGCGAAUAUAUACUUUAUUUCAAGUUACACAAUUUUUACUAGUUUUUAACUUUUUUUAAAAUUUUUAUCGUCUUUUAUAAUUUCUAAUAAUUUUUUACAAUAUUUAACAAUUUCUAACCAUUUUUAAUAAUUUUAUUACUUAUUAAAAAUUAACAAAUUAACUAUUUUUUAUUUUUUUAAAACAAUUAUAUAUUUAUAAUGUAGUUAUUUUUUUAUAAUUUUAUUUGAAAUUUUAAAGUUUUUUUGGUUUGUUUUCUAGAUGAUGAUGCCAUCAUGAUGUCAUCAUAUGCCACAUGGCAAUUUAUGAUUAGUUGAAUAUCUCAAUUUAUUUUUUUAAUGUCCAAUGGACUAAACCAAGAACACUUGAUUAUGUUAGAGACUACACUAGGAAUGUUUGAUAACAUUAGGUACUAAAGUAGGAAAAAAAAAAAAAGGAGCAAUACGAUGUAGGGAGUAAACUGUGCAUUAAGCCAUUAAAAAUAUAUCUAUAAUAUAUAUAAAUGCAUGGAUUUUGAGAAACUUUUGAAAUGAUAAUUAUAUAGUCUUUGUUUUUUUACUAUAUUAUUGAAUUUGUUAUUUUAAAUAUUUUUUUAUUACUUUUAAGAUUUAUCAUAUGUAUGGAUAAGAAUUUUGGUUUUACUAAAAUAUUUGGUUAAAUAAAUUCACUUCAUAAGAAGAUUUAGCAUCCUUGUAAAUAACAAUUUUGAUUCUAUUAAAAAAUUAUUUUAAAAUAUAUAUAAUAAAAUUUUAAAAUUUAUAUUGAAUUACUUUAUACUUAAAUUAUUAUUAGAAACUUUAUCAUACACAUACGUGUAUGAGAACUAUGUAUUUAGAACAUAAAUUUGUGUUUUAAAAUAACUUAUGAUAAAUAAUGAAAUGUAUAAUUUGAAACUAUUUAAUAAAAACACAUGGCUUAUCUACAAUAUUAAAAUAAAAAUAGCUUAAAUUGUAAGCAAAACAUAAUUUAAACAUAUGAAUACAUUAAAUUAAGAAUACUAAAUGAAUACAGUUAUUUAUGAUGGUGUUGUCUUCAAUUCCUAAGUUGGUGUCAAGUUAAUUUGUGACAUCAUAAAUUUAAGGUUUUAUGUAUUGAUGUGGAUUCAAAUAUCACCAUUUUUUUUAAAAUAAAAUUUAAAAUAAAUACAUUUUCCACAUUGGUUUCUUUUCUUCUACAGACAAAGGAUUUCUAAUGAUUUUUUUUUUAAAAAAAAUUACUUAUAUAAAAUAGAUUAGUUUAUGCAAUAAAAAUAAUUUCUUUUUUAAAGUUUAAUAGAAAUUAAAAAACAAAAAAAAAAUCAAUUCAUAUAAAGCUUAUUGUUUAUUAUCAGAUUAAAAUGAUAAAAGUAUACGAUAAACCCAUACUUGACGGAAUGUUACCAGAUAAUUCAUUUUUAUUCUAGUAAAGCCCUUCAAGCUUGAGAAUAUGUUGACACAUAUCAUUAGGCAAACUACCUGAUAGGUUAUUGUUGGAGAGAUCAAUGGCCUUCAGAGAAGAAAUGUUGAAGAUCGAAGUUGGAAUCUGACCUGUAAGGCCUUUAAUUUCUCUAAUAUUAAGCAGUUCCAAACCAAGAAGAUUACCGAUUUCCUCAGGAAUUUGAUCUGCACACAUAGUCGAAAAAUCAAGAUGUGAAACUACCUAUUUUGUUAGCAUAAGUCAAAGAGGUUUUCUUUUCUGUUCUACAUAAUUUGCAGAUGUUAGAUUUUAAUAUUUUUAAGCAUAUUUGUUUUCAUCAAAUUAACUAUUUUGAACUAUUUUGCCUUGAAUGAAAUAAAAUGCUCAUAUUUUUGUUAUCUAUUACUAAUCAAACUCUUUUAUAAAAAAAAAUACUUUAAACUAAAGAAACCAAGAAAAUUCAAUACCUUCUAAGUUAUUCAACUCCAAAUAUAAUUCUUUGAGUCGUGUCAGAUUUCCAAUACUUCUUGGAAUGAUCCCCCUCAAUUUAUUAUCGGAAAAUGCCAAUAUUUUAAGGUUGCUGCAUUUGCCCAUACUUGAUGGAAUGUUACCAGAUAAUUCAUUUUUAUUCAAGUAAAGCCCUUCAAGCUUGGGAAGAUGUUGACACAUAUCAUUAGGCAAACUACCUGAUAGGCUAUUGCUGGAGAGAGCAAUAGUCUUGAGAGAAUAAAUGUUGAAGAUCGAAGUUGGAAUUUGACCUGUAAAGCCUUUAAUUGCUUGAAUACUAAGCAUUUCCAAAUUAAAAAGAUUACCGAUUUCUUCAGGAAUUUGACCUGCUGACAUAGUCGAAACAUCAAGGUGUUAAAUUACCUAUUUUGUUAGUGUAAAUCAAAGAGGAUUUUUAUUUUUCUCGUUAUGAAAUAAUAUGGAUAUGUUAGAUUCUAAUCAUAUUUAAGUAUAUAUUAGUUCUUGAAAGAAAGAGUUCUUAGUAUUUAUAUUGCAAAUAUUUUUUUUAAAAUUUAAAAAAAGGGGGGGGGCAAAUGUGUUUAAACUAAAGAGAUCAAGGAAAAGGCAUACCAUCUAGGUUAUUUAACCCCAAGUAUACUUGUUUAAGUUGUGUCAAAUUCCCAAUGCUUUUUGGAAUGAUCCCACUAAAUUGAUUAAUAGACAAUUCCAAAAUUUGAAGGUUGCAGCAUUUGUCUAUACUUGAUGGAAUAGAACUUGAUAAUUCAUUUCUACUCAAGUAAAGCUCUUUAAGCUUGGGAAGAUGGACACACAGAUCAUCGGGUAAGCCACCAGAAAGACUAUUAUCACGAAAAUGAAUCCUUUUCAAAGAAGAAAUGUUAAAGAUGGAAGAUGGAACCAGGCCAGAUAAUUGAUUGAAUCCCAAGUUCAAGAUCUCUAGAUUGGAUAAGUUGACAAGUGUUUGAGGGAUUGUGCCUGUGAAGUUAUUAUUUCUCAUUUCCAACCUUUGAACUCUGUGCAAGUUCCCAAGCCAUGAUGGAAUUUCCCCAUUAAGACGGUUGUAGCUUAAUCGAAUGAUCCUCAAACGAUGCAAUUGGCCCAAUUCUUUAGGCAGAUGGCCAUAGAAAUUGUUGUUGCUCAGGUCGAGAGAAAAUAGAAAUGAAAGAUUUCCAAGGUGUGGAGGGAUAGUACCCCUAAGAUUCAUGUUUGUAAGAUUCAAAGCUACAACUCUUUCAUGGAUGAUGUCACAAGAAACACCAGCCCACUUACAAACAGAGGUAGAGUUCGUCCAAUUGUUUGCCAACACAUUUUGAGGAUCGACAAUGCGAUCUUUAAACUCAAAGAGUGCAAACUGAUAGGAGUUGAGAUUCCGGACUGUCAUAGCCAAGGAAACAAUGGAACAUUGUAAGAAUAAAAGUGAAAGAAGAUGAAAGCAAGUGUUGUAGUUCAUGAUGGCAAGACGAAAUAAGCCAGGAAAAGGGAAGUUGAAUUGAUGAAGAAAUACCCAGCCAACAUGCUUAAAUAGGCUUCAACCCUUGCACACUUCUCAUACAUAAAGUUCACUGCCAUUACAACAAGAAAACUCGUAUCUCCAUUCAUACCUAUCCAUACUUUAUUUGACUAACUUUUCCCUAACAGGUGUUCAGUAAGGAGACAAAUCACUUUGGAGCUAUUCACCGACUUCUCCAACCUUGGUUUCAAACUCCGUCCAACCUUGGUUUCAAACUCCUAGCCCAUCAAUUCACUUUAAUUGAAACGAUAUACACGAGUCUUUCGGCUUAUAUUUUUAACUUACUAAUUCUCUUUUUAAUUUAUUUUUUGUUACUUGUCAUAAUAUUUUUUGAGAAAUCCAAUAUUCCAGUCUGAAAUUUCUUCAUUGCCACGUCUAUCUCCUCGGUAAGUUCGUGGCUAGGCGGCCCACUUUGGGGGCAGGAUUGUAAUUUUAGUUCUAUCCGACUCAUUUUACUAUUUAGAAAUAUAAAAGUAAUAUUUAUUAAUUUUUAUAUUUUUAUAAAUUUAAAUUUAAUUUUAAUUUUUAAACAAUAAAACGAGUCAUUUUUAUUUGCCUAGGCCAAAUUGAAUCAGGAGUGAAAAUUUUUUUAAUCAUAAUUUACUAUUAUUUUAAUUAAUUAAAUUUUAAUUUACUAUAACUAGUAGUUGCAAAAAAAAUGACAUUCCUUUAGAAAAAUGAGAACUUAUGAAGCAUUCAAUAAGAGUUGUUGGAAUACAUGGUAACGAAACCAUAAUUCGAUAUAAAACUAUAUAAAUAAUGUAAGAUUUGUGAUACCUAAAUUGUUAUGUUUUCUAUAAAUAUAUGGAGAUUUUUUAUUAGGAAAUAAUUUUAUAUAUCAACAUUUGUUAUUUUCUUUUGAUAGAAAUUUAAUUAUGUUAUCUGUAGAAAAAAAUAUUUAUAGAAAUAUCAUUAGUAGAAAAUCAUAAAUUUGUGUGUGGCAAAAAAUUUUCACCACCAAGAAAGGGACAAAUUAAACAACUUGAAAGUCAUUGGUUGUUUAAAAUAUUAGAUAAUAAUUUUAGUGAAGAAUCAUUAAAAUUAUGACAAAAUAACCCUAGAUAUUGUAGUAUUAAAUUAGAAAAUCUCAAUAAUAUUAUUAGAGUAAAACCUAUGAUGUAUCUAAACAAGAUAUAGAAGAAUUUGAUAUACAAAUUAAGGGUAGAAAUCAUACGGAAAUAAUAAAAAACAAGAAAAAGCUAGUAUGGUCAUUAAUUAUAAAAGAUUAAAUCAAAAUAUUAUUUUUUGUAGUUACUUGAAUUAAUCAGGAUAAACAAACAAAAUAUUUUAGUAAAUUUGACUGUAAAUCAGGAUUCUAGUAAAUCAUGCUAACAGAAAAAUCUAAACCUUUAACAGCUUUUAGUGCACCCAAUGGACAUUACCAAUGAAAAGUGAUGUCAUUUCAAUUAUGUGAUGCACCACAAAUCUUCCAAAGACAAAUAGAUUUUAUAUUUAAUAAAUAUAAAAAAAUACUAUGUAGUUUACAUAGAUGAUAUUUUGAUAUUUUCAGAUACACUAGAAUUACAUAAGAAACAUUUAAAUAUUAUUUCUUAAGAAUUCAUAAAAUAUAGAAUCAUAUUAAACCCUAAAAAUAUAGAGUUAGAAAAAACAGAGAGAAUUUUUACAAUAGUGGAAAUAAAAAAUUGUCCUCAAUUUUAUUACAGAAAUUUCUUUGCCGACAAUAAGAAAAGAGCAUAUUCACAUUUUCGUCGCAAUUUCAACUAACACCCAAUCUCUUUCCCACUUUCCUUUUUCGGCCAAUUUCAAACGUAGCUGUUUUUCGAUUUUUCCUCUUGAUUUCAUUAAUAAAAUGAUCAAUCUAUUUGUUUUUUAAAUAUAUGAUUUUAUUAAUAUUUUUUAAUUAUAAUAUAAGAGUUGUUGUUUAUUUAUAGUUUUAUUACAUUAUUUAAUCUCUUUUUUAUAUCAAGUUUUUUAAAUUAUAAUAUAAGAUUUAUUUUAUCAAAUUGUGGCUUAUCAAAUGUUCAUCUAUUUUAAUAAUAACUUGAGUUCGAAUCAUUAUCAUACCAGAAAGAGUUCCCUUUAUUCUUUAUCGUAAAUUUUAUAAGAAAUUAUAUUUUAUUACAAUACUAUAUGUGUUAGAAUAAUAUUUUAUUGUGGAUGCCCAUAAUUCUCGAAGUUGUAACCUCGAAUGUAGUAACCUCAAUGAAAUUAUGAGGCUUUUAUAUUGUAAUCAAGCCUCUAUCUAUUCUUUGUAUUCUUUGUAGAAAAUAUGAAGUUGAUUUUACUUUAUUAAAAAAUUUAAAAUAAAUUAUCUUGUUUUUUUUAAAUGAGUUAACCAAAUUAGCAUAUUUAUUUUGAUCUAAAAUUAUCCAAAAUAAUAUAAAAUAUUAUAUUAAUAAAAUUAAAACUAUGAAAUAAUUUUUUUUAAAGAUUAUUAUUUACUUUUAUCAAACAAUACAAUUAUAUUCAGUACUUAUAUUUACUAGUUUACCAAACAGUUUUCCAAUAUGAAUUCAACACUUAUCAAAUUCAGUAUUAAAAAUUCAGUGCUUAAUUUUUUAGCACUUAACUUUUCAAUUCAUCAAGCACGUCUAAUUCAAUUUAUACAAUUCCCUAUUUGUAUCUCUAUGAAUUUAUAAAAUCCUUCUCGCAUUUAGUUGUUGGGAUCUUUAUAUGAAGAUAGAUGCUUUUAUUUUUUAUUGGUUCACUUUUAAUUGUAUUGAUUUAUUUAAUUUUAAUUUUGAUUAAUAUAUAUGAUUAUUGUGGAAUGGGAGUAAAAGUAUUUACUUCUCAUAAACUUUGAAAUAUUCACCCUGUCUACAUAUUAAUUAUUGUAAAAUUUGAAUUGAAAUUAUGCCAUAAAAGGUGGAGGUUAGAAAACCUCUUAUUGAGACCUUAUAAUAUUUUGUAAUUUUUUGUGUUAUGGUAUAUAAAAAAAUAUCUAACCAUAGUGAUUGAUUAGUAAUAUAAAUUUGUUAUUUGUUAUGUUUAAUAUAUAUUUUAUUUAUACUUAUUCAUUUUAUUUUUAUAUGAGUAAAUGAAGUGUUUGAAGAUUCGAAAUUUUUAUCAUCCAUGUUGAAAAUAACUGCAAAAGUGUAUAUUAUUUAAAAUAAAUUACGCAUUCAUUAAUGUUAUGUGAUAAAAUCAUUACAUUUUCUGAAGAACUAAUAUUGCAUCAAACUGUAAAAAGCUCUUGAAGAGCUAAUAUUUAUCUCCCUGUGAUGCAAAAUCUUGUAAAACAUGAUAUUAUUUUUCAAAUCAAGAAGAUUUAUGUUGAAGGAAAUAUUUAUGUGUUUUACAUUAAAACCAUGGAUAGAAAUGACAUGAGACACUCAUGUAUUUGCAUUAUAAAUAUUCCUUGAAGGAAUACACUUCACUUGUAUGAUUGACAUAUGAGAUAAUAGCAAGAAGUUUAUAGUGUUGGUAUGGCCGGCUAGACCAUCUCAAGUCAAUAAUGAUGCAAAAUAAUUUGAAGAGAAUUUAUAUGAUUUUAUUGAAGAAUGAGAAGUUAUUUUCAUUUUGAUAAUUGUCAUCAACAAUAGUUCUUUGGAAAAAAAAAUAUUGAACUAACAUCAACUAAAGUUAGAGGUUGGUUCAUGGUUGCAUUUUUUGAUGAUAUCCAAAUAAUAUAUGAGCUCAUGUAUCACAUGUAUGCAACCCAAAGUUUACAGUAUUAUUUCUUGAAAUAAUUUGAUUCUACACAAUCUCUAUAGCAUGCAAUUUGUGCUAACAACACUGGUGCAUUAUAUCCUAAGCUUGAUUUUCGUAGUUUUAGCUGAGAUAAUAUUAAGUUGUCUAUGCCUAUAUAUAUUAUACUUAAUGGUUAGCAAAAUUAUGCCUCCAUUUAAUUGCUUAACCAUUAAUAUAAGAAUAGCUUUAAAAUAAGCAUGUAAUUUUAUUUGCAUCGAGCCAACAUGUAAGAAAUAUUUGUCCCAUGAGAAUUAGCUUUUAUUUAUAAGCCAAUAGGUUUCAUUUAUGACUAUUUGGAUGUAAAAUAUCUAUUUUAUAUUCCACCAUAAUGCACUAAGAUGGACCAUCAAGUAUGAAGUUGAGAAAAAUUAGAAUUUUUAUUUGAUGGUAAAAGUUGCAAAGAGAUAUAUAUUUAUAAUUUUGAAAAAAAUAGUCAUGUUGCAAAUUUUCUCAGUAUUAGAGGGAGACAAGUUGGACAAAUACGUAUAAUUAUGUCAUCACUUUUUGUGACCCCUCACUAAUCUUAUGUGCACAAAGUUUGAAGGAAAAAAAUAAUUUGCUAGACAUGUUUAGUGAUGACAUUUAGAGAUUGUAUAUAUUGGAUGAUACAUAUACCAGCUAAAAUGUUCCAAAUAAUUAUGCGUCCUAGAAGGACAAAGUGAUAAAAAUAAUUUUUGGGCACGCUAGAAGGAUGAAAAACUAGUUGGUUCUAUAAAUAAAAAAAUUCUUGACAGAAAAGAGUAAGAAAUGAAUAUGGCCACACGUUAAAGGAGACGAGUACUCAUGAAGAGACCCAAGGUAUAACUUUUAAUAAAACCCCAAAAGAGGUUCAAUACAUGAAAUUAUGAAUAUAAUAAGUGUAAUAACCAAAUUUUUCCCGGGCCCAAUGCCAAACAAAUAAAACCCAAACCAAAUAAAUAAAAUAAGAGUCCAAAUUAUAGUCCAUUAGGGCCCAAUUCAGACCAGCCCACUAUUCAAUCAGACCAGCCGAACAACAAAAAAAAAACCUAGUAGCCCACAGCCCAACUAAGCCUAAAAAAUUUUCAGCAAAAGAAAAAACCCUAGCUGCCAUGCUAGCCGCCGCUCCUGCCCUAGCCUCUGCCCACUAUCGUACGCCACCUCUGCCAUCACCAUUAGCCUCUGACACCUGCAAAACAGCAAACAACAUGCAACAACAGAGAAGAAGACGACAAGCAAAAAACAAAUCACUAAAGGACAAAAAUAAUGAUAACAAAUAGCCUUAGUUUGGCUAUAAAAGCACAAAAAUGAAAACUUUGUACUUCUUUGGCAAGAUUAAUACAAAAAAGAAAAGAUUUGAACUUUUUAGGGUGAUAUUUCAUUUUUUUUUACGCUUUAGAUCUAUUUUUUUAUUUCAUCUUCAUCUACGAAAAUAAUAGAAAAAAGACUUUGAUUUCAAGGUGAUAUUUUGUUGUUUUUUAGAUCUAGUGUUUUUUUAUUUAUUUUUAUCUACAAAAAUAAAAAAAAAGGAAAAGAGAAACGUACCUAAUUCACCCCAUGGCUCCGUCGACGGAAGUCCCAUCGCCAUCGUCGGAAUCGGGCUUAAAAGGGGAAGGUUUUUAUUUUUCUUUACUUUUUUUUUGGAUUUUUCGUCUCAAGAAAUGGACUAAGGGAGGGGAAAUGGCCAAAAUGGUCUUUUUCCGAUGAACUCUGGCAACCACAUGUGGCAGUUAACAGUGCCGGUGCUCGGUGGCUGCGGUGGAGCCAUGGUGGUGUCCCAUGGCCGGAUCUAGAGAGGAAGCCUUUGAGAGGGAGAGAGUUUCUAACAUUUUUUUUAUUUUCUAAGGCAGAAAUGAAUUUUUGAAAAAAAAAAGUUGGGUUUUAUAAGUGCGUGAAAUGGCGCCAUUUUGCGCAAGUGCACAUCGACGUCGAAACGACAUCGUUUACCCCUUUACCCGCUCGCCCGAGUCUGGCUCGAUGAAGGUCCGCAUAUUUUCAUGCCUGAUGGGUUAUUUCCCUGCCCGAUCCUUCCGCUUUUGGGCUUCUUCUCAAUCUGGUCCUGAUCCUACUUUUUCCCGCCUUUUAAAUUGUACCAUUUAAUUUCAUUUCAUUUUCAACUCGGUCCCUCGGCUGACCAAAGGAAAUGAUGCGCAUAAAGUUAAGGGAUAUUUUCCCUUUCAAUCCCCAAUAUUUUUAGAGCGAUGCAUUUUAAUCCCUAACCUUUCAUUCCAAUCUUUUACACAUAUUAUUUCAUUUUAUUCGUUUAUUUAUUGACUUAUCAUUUUUACCCUCUUUUUAUACUUAAAAAUAUAUAUUAUUUACACUAUUACUUGCAUUUUUUUACUAUUAAAUUAUUAUUUUUAAUGUAUUAUAUUCCCAUUAUUUUACCAUUUUAUUUAUUUUGAUACUUUCAUGUCACAUUUAUUUAUUUUAAUAUUGCCAUUAUUUAUUUUAUUUUAUUCUUAUGUUUUUUAGUAUUUUAUUAUUUCUUUUAUUGUUCACGGUUUUUUUUUCAUGUUAUACAUUUUUAUCUUUCUAAUCAUGCAUUUUUCCUUUUUUUAUUUUGUUUUAGGUUACGUUAUUUAUUAUUAUUAUUAUGAUAAUAUUAUUAUAAUUAUAUUACCAUUAUUAUAGAAUUCCUUUAUUUGUAUAUUCCAUUAUAACUAUUAUUAUUAUUAGUAGUCUUUAACUCACUUCUAUUUUUAUUAUUAUUUUUUAGAAUAGUAGUCAACAUGCUUAUCCUUAUUGUUAUUUGGUGUUGUUCUUAUGAUUUUAUCAUCAUUAUUGUUGUAUUUCAUUUUUUGUUCACUCUUUAAAUAUUUUGUUCAUAUAGUUAUUUUACACUAUUGCAAUAUUGUUGCAUUACGCAUUAUGUUUCUUAUAUAAUAAUUAUUUUGCUUUCACGCGAUGUUCGAAUCAAUUAAACAUGAAUCUUCUCAAUUAUUACAUUAAUUGUUACUUAAGUUCAAAAAGAAAAUUUUCAAAAUAAGGCAAUAUUUUGCGUUUUGGAAAUUCGAGAAAUCAUACCCUAACUUACGAGGUUUCGAUUUUCUCGUUAAACUUAAAUAGCAAAAUAUUCUUUUAAAUUUCAAAAUGCAUGCAAUUUCAAUAAAAAUCAAAGGCAAGCUUAUUCUCUAAGGUUCCAAAUAUCGCGUCCUAACUUACGGGAUGUGACAUUUCGUUACCUCGAGACGAGUAGGUCUUCAACACUCUUUUCGAUUUAUUCGAGCGUUUUUAAUAACAUUAAUAAAAAGGGAUCGUAUUUUAAAUUUCUAUUCAAGUUUUCAACCUUGGACAUUAAGACAUUACUUAAUCAACUAGGUACCACCUUUGGGUGUAUUGAGGGUGUGUUUUCUAGAUUUUGUAGACCAAAUAUUAUCGUUUUUAGUAAAUUUAAAUUUUUAUUAAAAUGAUUAAAUUACAAGUGUUGACACCAUUUUUUCGAUGAAAAACGGGGUCGACUUGGGUUUUAAAAAAAAUGAAAAACGGGAGUCGCCACCAAUCCUUUUUGAUAAGGUGUGAUUGGGUCACCUUGAAAAAUGGUUGUUUUUAAUAAAUGAUUUGAUUUUAUUAAAACAACGGUUUUGGUCCAUGAAAUUUAGAAAACGGGUUCGGGAGUCGAUUACGUACGAGGAAGGAUUAGCACCCUCGUAACGCCCAAAAAUUGGUACCUAGUUGGUUAGCUAAUGUCUUGAUGUCGAAAAUUGAGAACUUGGAAAAAAUUAAAAAUACGAUCCUUGUAUUAAAAUGAAAAUUUUAGGAAAAGGGGGGGGCAUACUUCACGCUAAUCGAGAAAGAGAAUCAUAUCCAGUAAGUUAGGACACAAUGUCUCGAAUUCCCGAUACGCGAAUGAAUGCCAAAAUUUUACUUAUUUAAAAGACAUUUUAGCCGUCUCGAAUUUAAAAAUGAAAUCACGACCAGUAAGUUAGGACGUGAUUUUUUAAAACUUGAGUUUGAAAAGAUUCGUGCAUCUAGAUUUAUCGUGAAAAUCAAUACCCAGUAAGUUAGGGUACGAUUUUCUUGAAUUUAAACACGAAAUGCCAUUUUUUAAAACAAAUUUUGUUAUAUCGAGUGAAAUAAAAACACAAAGUCGUAGUAAAAAAAUGUGUAAGCAAAUUACAUUGUUAUGCAUGGCAAAAUCAUAAUGAAUACAAAAGUAUAAAAAUGAUACGAGCAAUAAAAACAAUAUAAAAUAAAUAAAAGUCAAACCUACAAUAAUAUUAAAUAACAAUGUAUAUAAACAAAUAAAAUUAAAACAUUCAUUCAAAAUAAUAAUGAAAAUGAAAUAAAUAAAUAGUAAAUACAAAAUAAAACAAUAGUAAUGAAUAAAAAUAAUAUAAUAUAUAUAUGUAUGUUAGAAUUAUAAAGUAUAAAAAUAUACGUAUGUGUAUAUAAGAAUAUGUAAGCAUGUAUAUAUACAUAGAUUAUAAAAUAUAGAUAUUUAUAUAAAAAUGAGUAUUUGUAUUAAAUAAGUUGAAAAAAUAUAUAUAUAUAUACCUACAUAUAUAUAAAAAAUUAUAUAAUAAUAACAAUAUAAUAAAACACAUAUAUCUAAAAUUUACAUAAGUAAAUAUAAAUAAAAACAUACUAAUAACAAUAAUAUUAAUAGUAAAAUGAUAAUACAUAAAAAUGAUGAAGAAAAUAAUAAAAAUGCUUAAAAGGGGACUAAAUCGAAGUAAGAACCAAAAAAAAAGGGGCAAAAUCGAAAUAAAGACAAGAGGGACUAAAUUGUAACGCGCGCUGAAAGAGGGGGACCAACAAGGUAAACAAACCAAAGCCUCAAAACGUUGCUCUGUAAAGGACUGAAAUGAGACAAAAAUAAAAUUUUGUGGCCAAAUUGCAAAUAUGCGAAAAACUUCCAUGAAAUCGCUACAAAAUCAAAGGGACUAAUUGCGCAAAUAGACCCUUAAACAAAAACGCGCGGAUCCUUGGGUGCGGGUCGGGUCGACGUGCGGAUCCCCUCACCAAAACGGCGUCGUUUUGUGUUUAAUAUAAAUAUAAAAAAAAGGGCUAAAAAAAACAGUUUCAUCAUUUUUGUUGAAAAACAAAGAGAAACCUCUCUCUUUUUUCCCUUUCUCAGGCUCAGAUUCCGGAGAUGGCCCGGCCUAGGCUUCUGGCGAAUCUCCGCCGUAGAGCCACCGUGUGUGGCGGCCGGAGGUCCAAAAUCGGACCUUUUCGGUCCCUUUUUGAAACUGAGAAUCCCUAGGGUACGGAUCUGGGACCAAACCCCCGAAAAAAAGAAUCGGAGACCUGAAGAACGAGGGGAAACCGCUCGUCUUCUCUCCUCCGGCGCGGCGCAGGUAAGGUUUCUUUUUCCUUUAUUUAUAUUACGUAAAAAAAACAUACAAAAAGAAAAAAAAAGAAAAUAGAGUUUAAAAAAAAUCUAAAAUAGAAAUGAGAGAAAAUCACCUCUCAAGUUUUCUUGUUUUUUAUUUCUUUUUGCUAAUAUCUGUUUCUUCUUUUUACAAAAGUUGAUGGAAGAAGAAAAAAUUACAUUUUGUUGGCUUUUUAUAGCCGACUUCUACUACUGCCUGUGUUAUUUGCUCUCUGUUUCUUUGUUUUGUUUCUUCUUUGCAGGUGACGGCGCAAGUGGUGGUGGUGACGUGACCGUGGCAGUGGCGGCGUGACGUUGGCGGCGGCGGCAGGCCAAAGGUCAAUAGGUGUGGAGCCUAGGGUUUUAGUUUUUGAAACCCUAGGCAGAUUUUUUUAGGGGAAUUGGGCCUUAGCUAUUGGGUUGUUCGGGUUUGGGCCUCGGGUUAGGCUAGUUGGGCUUUGAGGUUGGGUUGUUUUGUAAUGUGCUUUGGUGUUUGGGCUGGUAGCUGGUGGGUAAGGUUUAUUGUUUUGGGUUCUUGGGCCUGGUUCUGUUUGGUUAGGGUAAUGGGCCAUUUGGGUCUGGGCAUAAAAUUGGGCUAUACAACAAGGUGACCCGAUUACACCUCAUCAAAAAGGAUUGGUGGCGACUCCCAUUUUCAUUUUCAUUUCUUUUUAAAUCAAAGUCAACCCGUUUUUAAAAAAAAUGGUUUCGACAAUAAGAUAUAUUGAUUAGUUAUGUCAUAACUAAAGAUGAUGGAGUUGACAAAAGGAAAUUGUAGUUAACAACGAAUAAUCUACGUAGAACAUUUCAAUAUUAUGGAAAAAUGAGUAUUUACCAACCUUCUUUUAGUCAAAUUAUGCAAGCCUAAAAUUUUUAGCUUAAUUUGAGUUUGUUGACUAUGUCUAAUUCAAGUUUUAUUAUUAAGGACUAAAUUGUAACUUAAAAAAAUUAGAAUACCAAUUUAAAGAGACAAAAAUUCAAAACCCCAAAACCCACAUGGGCAUGUGGGUAAGUGACACAGGCGUGUGGAGACUGGAGCUAUCACACACGGGCGAGUGGGACAGAAAAAUAUGAAAUAAAUUAAUCCACUUAAAUUUCAAACAACCAUGCUAUACUACCAAACCAAAUAAUGCUAGAAGCUUUGAAUAGGGGUGAAUCGAAAAAAAAAAUAAAAGAAUUAGAAUUAAAUUAUAAAAUUUUCAGAAGUUAUCAUGUAUUAAUUUAUUAUUUUUUAAAGGGUCUUAAUAGAAUUUUUUUUUUCCAUUUUGGUUUGGCCAAUACCCCUGUCUACCUCUUUCAAUUUGCUUCAACCCUAAACCUAAUAUUCAAUUUGUUGUGGAAGUUUGACGCAUAAAAAUUUCUUUUUUAGAGGUUUAAAUUAUAAAUUUUUGAAAGUUUAAAAUAAAUUUUCAUUUUUAUUAACAAAAUAUAAAAGAAAAAAAACAUGUGUAGACAAACCAAGAAACCUUUGGGAUCAUACGGGUGAUUUUGAUGAUGUUAAUGGUUAUUUUGAUGGAGAGGGUGAAAAAGAAACAAAUGAUUCAUAUAUAUAAUAUAAUUAUGAAAUUCAAGCCAUAUAUUGUAUGUUUCAUCCAUAAAAAUUUCAUGGGAGGUCCGAAGGUAAUUAAAUGACUUGUAGGCUUGCUGAAUUUCUUUGAAAGGCCCAAUGGCAAUUUAACAUUCACAAAAUAAUCUCUAAAUACUGUAAAGACAAAAUCAAAUCCACAGCAGCAUUAGAGUUGAUUAAGCUAAGCAUUGGCAAAUAUUACUUUGAUUUUGCAUGCAAUAUUAGCAAAACCCCCUCUUACAUUAGAUAAACAACAUACUCCAUGAAACAUUGAUAGCCCAAAUACAAAUUUCAUCGACAAAAAAGUCUCUUUGUUUUGUAGAACAUGAUAGUAAAAAUGUGGAGUUUCGUUCUUCUUAUUGGCCUCCUUUAGUUUUCCUUGAUCAACAACCACUAGCCAAAAACACAAUUAGAUUAGAUUAUGAAUGAUACGUUCAACUAUGACAUUAUUAAAUAUAAAACACUCUAAAUAACUCUAAAUAAAUGGAAAGCAACAAAUUACCUAACGAGGCAAGCUAGCUCAAUUAAGACCAUUGUGUUAUACUUGUCUCUGAAUUGAAAAAUUUAGAAGGAAAUAAAGAGAAAGACUUAGAAAAUAUUUGAAAACAGAUAAAACUUAUAUGUCAUUUAAAAUAAAAAUUUUGUAUUUAAGCCGUUUAAAAUUUUUAAGAUUUUUGAAAUUUUAAAACGAUAAAGGUAAAAUUGUACUUUGGCACACCAAAAAUGAUAAAACUUUGAUUUAAUCCUUUAGAAAUUAUAAAAAUAUAGGCUAUUAAAAUGGUGAAAUUACCUUUUUACUAUAGUAAAAAUUACAAUUUAAUUUCACUUUAAGAUUUUCUGACUUCGCCCCUAAUAAAAUCUUUGGCAAAAGAUUAAAAUAAAAUUAUACCGUAAAUGGAAAAAGAAACAAAGAAAAUCCAAUCUAACAAAGAAAAUAACUUAUUUCCAAAAGCUACCAUAAACCGUAAUUCAUGGGAAGAGAGCCUAGUACGUGAGAGCAAAAGUAAAAACAAAUAGUUUAUAUGAUUAAAAUUCCAGAAUAGGUUAAAAAUGUUGAAUUAAAGAUAAAAUUAAGCGUGAAUUAAUAACCACAAGUGUACUCUUUACUCACCAUCUCUGUUAAAAAUGUUGGAUGUUGUUUAGCAACCUUUGUUUGAUUUUCUUCAGCUCAACCACAACAUCUUUCAUUUCUUUUCUUUCUUCUGGUAACUCAGCUGAACAAUUCAAAGCCAACUCCAUGAUAGAUGAAAUACAAUUUGCUUUAACAACAAUGUUCUCAUCCUCUCUUCUUAGUAAAUCAACAUCUGCAAUUUCUAUCGCUCCUUUAGGCAAUGAACUUUCCAUCCAAUGCCUUAUAGUCUCUUCUUCAACAAAAACAUUAUCAGUUGGCUUUCUCUUUGUGAAAGUUUCUAUAAGGACGAUCUCAUAACUAUAAACGUCAGAUUUUAUAGAAACAAGUCCUGCAGAUCCAAAUUCUGCAUUUCAAGUAUAAUUAGAACAUCAUCAGUCCUCAAUUAUUUGAUAAAUCUAUGUAUAUCCACAUACACGAGAAACAAAAAUAUAAAACGCAAAUUAGGAAAAUAAUCGUACAAAGAUAAAAAAAGAAUUCACCUGGUGCCAUAUACCCGAUUGUUGCAAGAGUCAUGGUUUGCUUCAUUACUUCACCUUCUCCCAACAAUUUGGCAACGCCAAAAUCUCCAACAUGUGCAACCAUGUCUUCAUCUAGUAAAAUAUUGCUUGGUUUUAUGUCACAAUGAAUUAUAGGGGUUGGAUGUCCAUUGUGGAGGUGUUCUAUAGCCACCGCAACAUCUAUCAUUAUGUCGACCCUUUGUAUGAUAUCAAGGAAACAAUUUUUAGAAUGUAACCAUUUCUCAAGGUUUCCAUUAGACAUGUAAUCAAGCACCAAGGCUUUGAAGUCAACACUUGAGCAGCAAGUAAUGACCUUCACAAUAUUACGAUGAACUAUAUUAAUCAUAGCAUCACAUUCAAUGUCAAAACUCCUAAAUGCUCCCUCUGUUUGCAAAUUGAAAACUUUUAUUGCAACUUCCAUUCCAUCUGAAAGCCUCCCUUUAUAUACAUAUCCAAAACUCCCUGAACCAAGCAUAUUGCUUUCCUCAAAUCCAUUAGUUGCUCGUGAAAGUUCAGCAUAUGAAAUUCUUCUCGGUGUCUUCAAAGACAACAAAUCAUCUUUAAUUGGUAGAGCUGUAUUAGCUAAUGUUUCAAAAUUUAAUGUUGGUUCAUUAGAACCGUAUAAACCGAGACCCAAAAACUCCUUCUUUGGCAUCUUCUAUACAUAAUAGUUAAGACUAUUAGUACUACGACAAUACCAAUUGUUGGUAAACCAUACCUAAAAGCAUGCAAUAUAAUCGUUUGGGAGUUUUUGUGGAUGUCGUUUUUACAAGGUGGGACUAGCAAUCUAGGUGGACCACAAAGUGCAUAAUUCUUCAUGAAUGAUGUGCUAGAAAAGUUUGAAAAACAUCCUUCACUGGGAAUUUCCCCUUCAAGUCUAUUGAAAGACACAUUAAAAUACUUUAGAUAUAAAAGCUUUUCCAAAGAUUUGGGAAUGACUCCAGAGAGAUUGUUAUUGCAUAAAUCCAAGAAUUCCAAACUAAUCAACCCAUCAAAUGAUUCAGGGAUAUGACCAUGUAGUAUAUUAUUUGAUAAAUCUAAUGAAACCAAAGUUAUAAGACCCCCAAAUGUGGAUAAGAUAUCGCCCGUGAGAAGAUUCCUUGAUAAAUUUAGUUUCAGUAGACUCUUCAAAUUUCCAACAUCAAUAGCAUGUGAAUUGUGAAGAUGGUUUGAUGAUAAGUCUAUUUCUAAGAUAUCUUUAAGAUUCCACAAAGUUGAGGGUAUUGUAGAACUCAAUUUGUUGGAAUCUAAGUAAAGAUAUCCCAAAGAAGUAAUAUUACCCAAACAAGAGGGUAUGGAUCCAUGCAGCUUAUUCAACCCUAAAUACAUCUUGUAUAGUCUCUCCAAAUCACAAAGGCUUUCUGAGAUGGGCCCUCCUAAUUUAUUAGAGGAAAGAUAUAGACCUUGGAGAUUUCUCAUUCCUCCUAUUGAUGCUGGAAUCAAUCCACUUAAUUUAUUAUAGUCAAGUUGUAAAAGCAAUAGGUUGGUUAAGUUACCUAUUUCCAUAGGAAUAAUGCCUUGAAGCUCACACUCAUCGGCAUAAAAGUAUUGAAGGGAUUUUGAAAGGUUCCCAAUAUAAGUAGGAAGAACGCCACUCAAUGGAUUUCCUGAAACAUCUAUUGUGCUCAAAUUCCUACAAUUCGUCAAAGAAGAAAUAAAGCUCCACUCAUGAUCAGUAGAAGAUCCUGUGAUCAAAUUAUUGUCAAAGAUUUUGAGCACUUCAAGGUGUCUUAAGUUGCCAAGCGUUUUAGGGAUUGGGCCAGAGAAUAAGUUAUGCGCCAAGUCUAGUUCCUUAAGCAUGGAAGCAUUGAAGAUAGAGUUGGGAAUGUUUCCGCUAAGUUUAUUUCUCCACAAUAAAAGAAUCUCAAGCUUUGGAGCAUUGGUGAUUGGUGGUAAAUCACCUGUGAAAUAGCAUCUUUUAGUAUACACAUUCAUUGAAUACCAAAUUCACAAAAUAUAUAAUACAUUAAAAUAAAAACUGUAAAACUUUAAAUCAAUUAAGAAUAAAAUUUUGGCAUGGAAAAAUGUGAUGAAAUCAAUUAGAAAGUUGAGACAUAAUAAGAAGUUUUGAGUAGUAAUUACUCAUGAUUUCCAUAGACAAAACAUAUAAUACACUGAUAAUUUUUUUAAAAAUAUUGUAAAACCUGAAAUAAAAUAAAAAAUAAAAGUUUGGCAUGAGAAUGUGGCAUCUAAUCAUUCUUAAAAAUAAGACUAACAUUGAAUAAUAAUUAGUUAUGAUUUGAGAAACAAAAAUGUUAAAGAUGUAAACUGGUAUGAUUUUUAUCUAUUGGGUUAAUUAUUUAUUUUUAUUAAAUUAUAGUGUAAAAUUUAAAUAUUAUUAUUUGCUCAAAAUUUUUGUAUUUUUCGUAUAUUUGAAAUUUAAUCUUUAUAUUUUUUAUUUUCUGUGAUUUAGUCUCUCUACUUUUUGAAUUGAAAAUUUUAAGUUUAUUUAUUAACACUGUUAAAAAGUUUUUGUGUUAGUAUGGCAUUUUGAAAAAUAAAAUAAAAUUGAUAUCUAUGUUUUUAAUUAUUCCAAAUAUUGUUUUACUAUUUCAAGAUAAACUUUUUGUGUCUAUACCAAUAUCUUAAGAACUAUUGUUGCAUGUUUAAUUAUUCUAAAGAUUUGUUGAUUGAGUCUUGGUUGAAGUGCAUUAUUCUCCUAUUUAUGAAUUGGGGAGUUGAUAAAGUACUUUAUUUUAAUAUAUUUUAAAAUAUUAAAAAUUUAUUAAAAUAUUUUUUAUAAAACUUGAUUGUACCACAAUAUACAAUUUUAAUAUCAAAUUUUUAAUUGUUUUUUAAAAAUAUUAGCGAAUAUAUACUUUAUUUCAAGUUACACAAUUUUUACUAGCUUUUAACUUUUUUUAAAAUUUUUAUCGUCUUUUAUAAUUUCUAAUAAUUUUUUAUAAUUUUUUACAAUAUUUACAAUUUCUAACAAUUUUUAAUAAUUUUAUUAUUUAUUUCAAAUUUAAAAAUUAACAAAUUUUUAUUUUUUUAAAACAAUUAUAUAUUUAUAAUGUAGUUAUUUUUUUAUAAUUUUUUUUUGAAAUUUAAAGAUUUUUUUGGUUUUUUUUUCUAGAUGAUGAUGCCAUCAUGAUGUCAUCAUAUGCCACAUGGCAAUUUAUAAUUAGUUGAUUAUCUCAAUCUUUUUUUUUAACGUUGAAUGGACUAAAACAAGAACACCUGAUAAUGUUAGAGACUACACUAGGAAUGUUUGAUAAUAUUAGGUACUAAAGUGGGCAAAAAAAUUAAGAACUAUAUUAAAAAUAUAUCUAUAAUAUAUAUAAAUGCAUGGAUUUUGAGAAACUUUUGAAUUGAUAAUAUAUAUAAAUGUUUGAUAAUAUGUUGUUUACUAUAUUAUAGAAGAAACAAAUUCAACACAAUGUUUUUGGAGUUUGGAAAAAAUUAAAGUGAAAAACAUACCUUCUAAUUUGUUGUCAUAUAGACCUAUUACUUCGAGCGUAGUUGAAUUAAAAAUACUUGAUGGAAUCUGACCUGCACACAUAGUCGAAAAUUGAAGUGAAAAGCAUACCUUCUAAGCUGUUAAACUAAAAAUACUUUAAGCAUAUUUUAUUUUCCAUCAAAUUAACUAUUUUGCCUUGAAUGAAAUAAAAUGUUCUUAUUUUUGUUAUCUAUUACAAAUCAAACUCUUUUAUGAAAAAACUAUUUUAAAUUAAAGAAACAAAGAAAAUUCAAUAUCUUCAAAGUUAUUCCACUCCAAAUAUAAUCUUCAGUGAAGAAAUCUUGAAGAUGGAAGAUGGAACCUUACCAGAUAAUUGAUUGAAUCCCAAGUUUAAGAUCUCUAAAUUAGACAUGUUAACAAGUGUUUCAGGGAUUGUGCCUAUAAAGUUAUUAUUUUUCAUUCUCAGCCUUCGAACUCCCUGUAAGUUCCCAAGCCAUGAUGGAAUUUCCCCAUUAAGACGGUUGUAGCUUAAUCGAAGGAUCCUCAAACGAUGCAAUUGGCCCAAUUCUUUAGGGAGAUGGCCAUAGAAAUGGUUUCUACUCAAGUCGAGAGAGAGUAGAAAUGAAAGAUUUCCAAGGUGUGGAGGGAUACUACCCCUAAGAUUCAUGCUUUUAAGAUUCAAAGCUAUAACUCUUUUAUGGAGGAUGCCACAAGAAACACCAAUCCAAUUGCAAACAGAGGUUGAGGCCGUCCAAUUGUUUGCCAAUACAUUUUGAGGACCGGCAAUGCGAUCCUUAAACUCGAGAAGUGCAAACUGAUCAAAGUUGAGAUUCCUGACUGUCAUACCCCAGCAAAGUCCGGAACAUGGUAUGAAUAAAGCUAAAAGAAGCUGAAAGCAAGUGUUGUAGUUCAUGAUAGCAAGACGGAAUAAGCCAAGAAAAUAAAAAAAAAAAGUAGGAAAAGGGAAGUUGAGUUGAUAAAAUAGUUUGGAUGAUGAAGAAAAGCCCAGAGAGCAUGCUUUAAUAUGUUUUGAAAAUAAAUUUCAAAAUAAAAAUUUAAAAAUAAAUUUCAAAAUAAAAAUUUAAAAAGGAAAGCAAAGUUUUGAAGAAAUUUCAAAAUAAAUUUCAAGUCUUCUUCUUUAAAAAAUACGUACAAAGAGCGAAUUUUCAAAAUUUCUCCUAAAUUUUCUUCACAUUACUCCACAUAAUCCAUUAAAAAAACUUAAAAAAUAUAUUUUAUUAAUUACUAUACAUUCUUUUACUUUCAGAAUAAUAAAUUGUUUAAAAUUUGCUAUUAGUCCCUGUAAUUUAAAAGUUAAAAAAAAAUUCAAUCCUCCUACUUUUCUAAUUUAAAAAUUCUAGUUCAAUCAAUUUUAAUUUUAAAAUCUUUGUAUAAAAGGUGUUUUUUUUUGUGACCGAUCACACUUAACCAAUAUUUAAAAAUUAUUAAAAAAUAUUUUUUUUUGAAAUUUAAAGUGAUCUAAAAACAUAUUUUUAAGUACUUUGGACAGUCUAUUGUUGAUUUCCUUAUUAUAUUAAGUGUUUGCAAUCACUCCUAAUAUAUUGUGCUUGAGUUGUGACAAAGUCGAUCAUCAAAUUGCCAUAAUGAUCUAUUGAUGCUGAAAUUAAAGUUUUUGUUAUAUUGAUAGAGCUUGUCCUUCAACGCGUACAACGUGUUUGUUAUUUUUCUCCCUUCAAAUUGUAUGAUCUUAUUCAUUAAAUGAAUUAAUGAAUUUCCCUUUUAAAAAGAUAUAUUUUUAAAAAUUAAAUACUUUAUAAAAUAUUUAAAAAUUUGUAAGCCUUAAAACAAUCAACAAAAUAUUUUUGAAAUUUUAUAAAUAUAUUUUAAAAUUAUAGUAACGCUACAAAAUAUAUAUAUUUACUAAUUAUAUGCACCUUUUUUAUUUUUUUUCCUAACAUAUCAUUAUUUUCAACACUAUCGUAAUCCUGUUUUGAUAAUUCCCUUUCCAUACAUCCUUUUUCUACAUAGAAUUUCAAAAGAAAAUGUGAAUUAAUGUAAACGUGAGAAGACUUAAUUACAUUUAUUAGUUUAUCAAUCAAAACUUAAUUAGAAUCCAUCAAUAUUUCACACAUCAAAAACCCAAACAUAAAAUUCACUUUUAAAUUAUUUGAAGAUACAUUUGUAUUAUAGGAAAUGGAUUAAAUUAGUCUUUUAUUAUUAAAUGUAUUAUUUUAAUCUUUGUAUUAGGUAUGAAUUGUAUCUCCUAGAUUGAAGCCAAAGCUAUUCUUGAAAGACUGAAAUUAAGAUUCAGAUGUGUUGAGAUGGAAAGUGGCAACACAAUGUUGAUUGAAACUAUUUAUAACGGGUUGGCUACAAUAAGUAGUGCUGCCGAAGUAAGACAGAUUCACGAUUGGUGUUCCAAAAAUUGGGAAGUCAAAUUUCGACAUAUUCAACGAAAUGCCAAUAAAGUUGUUGAUUGCAUAGCUAAGGCAAAUGGAGGCGUAAUUGAGCAGCUGGUUAUCUUGGAAGAUCCUCUGCAUUAUGUGAGAUGCUAGCUUGAAGAAGAUAUUAGACAGUCACUAGUGACUGAUGAUAAUUUUCAUUUGGACUGAUGAGCGCUUAAUUUUCUAAGCUUAUGUUCAACAAAAAAAAAUUUAAAUACGUCUAAAUUGUAAUAGAGUUAACAUUUAGUGUUUAAAAAAUAUCUUAAAAAUUAUUUUUUUCCAAUUGCAGUUCAAUUCCACAAAUAUCGACGAUGAACCCGGACAUAAAAAUUACAGAAAAAAAAACACAUCUAUUAUCAAACCAGCAAUCCAUGUCUAAACUUAAAUUAACAAAAUUUGCCACACAACGCCCGGUACACUAUUAUAUAUCUAUACUAGAUUUAUUCUAGAUGCACAUGUUUUAUUAUAUUUAAAAAUUAAAAUGUAUGGUUGACUAAGUUUUAGUUGAGUUAGUAUUGAUAUUAUUGUCAGUGUAGGAAAAUGUGAGUUUAAUCACGCUCAAAUGUGUUUUAUCCUCCAAUUCAAGGGUUAGGAAAAGGUUAUUGAUAAUUAAAUUAUACCAACUUUUAUAAUAUUAAAAAAAAGGAUUUAUAAAUAAUAUAAGGAAAAGAAAAAAAGAGAAACAUAUUCAUAUUGAUGGGCUCUUUCAAUAUUAGACUUUUUUUUCUAUCACAAGUAAAAAUAUCAAAGGUGAUAAUAAUUAAAUUAUAAAAUUUAAAUUGAGAAAAUAGGGGAUAAAAUUUAUAAGUUUUAAAGUAUAAAGAAUGAAUUUAUAACUAACAACAUAUUUUAACCACAUAAUAAAAGUAGUUAUGGAGAGGAUCAUAUAAAAUGCAAAAAUGAAAUAAUAGAAAAGAAAUAAGUGUUGGGUAUAGUGGCAAUGUAUAUUAUACUUCUAAGGGGAGAUCAAGAUUUUAGACAAGGGAAGAAUUUUAAACCUGCUUUUUUCUCUAGAACUCAACGCAAACCUCAAAUUUAUCUUUUUAAAAGAAUUUAAAAAUAUCUAUAUAAAAGGUGAUUUUUUACCGAUCACACUUAACAAAAUUAAAAAAAAAUUGAAAUUUAAAGUGAUCUAAAAACAUAUUUUAAAGUGCUUUUGACCAUCUUGUGCUGAUUUCUUUAGUAAUUUGAUUUGUUCAAUAUAGAUUUUGGUGACUUAAAACAAAAUUAAUAAAAAAAUAUUUUAUCAGAUAUCUUUUUAAUGUUUAAUAAUAAGUUAAUUUAUAAAAUAUACUUUCAUUGGACACAGGGCCUCCAAGGCGGUGAACCACUAAUCAAAUUAAUUUUGAGAUACUUAAAUUUGUUUUCAUCAAUUAAGAAAUUAAAAAAAUUUGUUGAGACCUCAUGAUUAUGUUUUAUAAUUUCAGGCUUAUCAACUAUUUUGAAAAACAACAAAACGUCUUACACCAAAAACUAAAAAAAUAAAAACGUCGACAUUAAAUUUGUUGCCAUGCAAUCAAUUUUAAGAUGGUUUUUGGAGUUAUAUAUCACCUUAGCAUUGACUUACUUUUCUACACUUAGUCUUCUCCAACAAGUUAAAUAUUUCAAUUUUAACAACAUUGACAGGUCUUUGGGGUAGGGUCGAGCAAAACUCAAUAUAGGCUGAGUUGGCUCGGCCAAGUCGAGUCGACUUGUUCAAAUUAUUUAAAUUCGUAAUUUUUAAGGUGCAGUUAGAAUUUUUUGUUUUGAGAUGCUAAGAUUAAAAUAUUUCAGUUGCUAAAACAAAAUAUUUGUAUUUAAAAAGGCAUAAAUUAAAUAAUUAAGUUUUUCGAGUUUCCAUUUAAUCAAAGGUUAAAAGGACUAAAUUGAAGCUUUUUAUUUUUAAGAAAGGCUGAAUGACAAAUUGCCCAAAGCCAUGCCCCUAGCUAUACAACUAACUUCUCUAUGAUUAGUCCUUCGUUUGCUUUGGGUGAAAUCUUCCAACUAGCCUCAUCCUUGGUUUUACUUUCCAACAAUUAGUGUAUCACGAGUUUUGUUUUCUUUAAAAAAUAUUUGUGGAUAUUAGGAGAUAAUGAAAAUUAUUUUACUAUGAAAUUUUAAUAAAACUGGAAAAUAAGUAAUUUAUUUUAAGAGGUCGCAAUUAAACGUUAGAUUUCCAAUUUUUAAAUUUUAAAUUUUUUUUUGACAAUUGCAUAAUAUUUUGAGCGUUGUAGGAAUGCCAUAAUAUAACUUUCCCUACGCAUAAUCGACUCUUGAGCAUGAUGGAUCCUAGACCUUCUCCUCUAUUCUCGUACCACAAAUUGCUUCAAGUGUGGGUUCGAACAAUCACAAAUUAAACGCAAAACCAAAAAUGAUUUAUUACUUUCAAUAGCAAAGUAAUUCUCUCUCAAUAGAAACCAAUAGAAUUGUAAUUCCUAGAAAAUAAAAUUUAUUUUUUGAAAAUAUAUUCUCACUACUUUCUAGCAGAAUAACAAUAUGUGAAACUUAUGUCUUGUGUUAAUAGCUCUACCAGUACUAUCUAUUUAUAGGGAGAGACACGAGAAUCCUGGUUGAAUUAGUAAAACACGAAUAAUAUUUAUUUCAUAGAAAACAAUAUUCCACCCUAAGUAGAUCAAGUUUGUAUGACGCAUGGAUCAAAGCUCAAUCUAGGAGAAAAAAAACAAAGGAAUUUUCUUUGUAAAGAAAAUUUGAGAUUGUACUAUUUUCAAAGUUAAAAAUAAAAUUAUACGCCAAAUUUUCAAGUCAAUUUUCAACUCCAAUUUUGUAUGCACAAAUUUCUAAUACACUUGGUGGGACAUUCUUUGACUUUUAUCUAUUCUCUCAAAAAGUUAAAGUUCAAAGUUACAUUAAACCCAAAGAAGAUAUUCAUUAGUAAACCACCUCACAAGCCUGUUCAAGCUAAUCCUACAACUCGUUCCACUUCAUCAUCAAACACCAAUAUUCUUGCUUAUCCUUAUGGAAUUAAACAGUCUCAUUUUCUGCAUUUUGGGUACACACUUAGUUUUGUUUGAUGCUAAAACAGUCCCCGAGCACUCCAAAACCUAUAAUUGAACAAAUAAUACUAAUUUAAUCUUACAUAACAUGAUCCCAAAUUGAACUUGUAUCGAGGUUUUAACCCAUAAGUGACUAAACCUUACCUUCAACCGAGUGAACAGUAAUUCCCACACAAACUAAGACUCCGAUUGAAGAUUACGAGCCAUUGAAUCCUCCCCUAAUUGGCAUAAACAAAACACUUCAAAAGAAAGUCAACAAAUGGAGACAAAUCACUUAUCUAAAACUUACCGAACGAUCACAGACAAACGUGAAGCGACACGAGGCAGAGUGGGAAAAGAAAAAUCAAGAGGAUGAAGGGUGAAAGAGAGCAGAAAUUCGGUAGCAAUGAAGAGAAAAACGGCAAGAAAGUGGAGGGAUUUUGGGGAAAGUAAAAAAAAAGAUGAAUAGAAUAUUUGAUAACUACCCCAAUCCCUUAUUUCUCUCUAUCAAACUCCCCACUAAAUCCACUACUCAAAUUUUUAGUCCAUCUCAAACUCUCCUGGACGCACGAGCAAAAAAUAAUGCCCAUGCCAAAAUUUAAACAAAAGACCUCCUUCACACCAACACUCCACUUAUCCACCAGACCAAUAGGCUCAUUCUUUUAAUUAUUUUCCAACUUUUACUUAAAAGCCUACUGACCAAAGAUAGGGCUUAUUCAUAAAAAUACCAAAUUUUGCCCAAGACCUGGCUUGAACUUGGGACCUCCCAAACACACCCAGAACACAUAACCACUAAAGCAGACAUAAAUUUUGUGUCACACAUUCACAAUACCCAAAAUUAAAAUUUUAGGGCAUUACAAAAACACAUUAAAUAAUAUCGCAUAAAACAAUCACAGUUAGAUAACAGUUCAGAAUGUCGAUUUUACAAUUUAACCACCAAUAGUAUCACAGUAUUCACAGUUGUAAUUUCAGAAUAUCAAAUUUCCACAUGAUUCACAAUAUUCACACAUAUAUAAAUAUAUCAUAAUAGAAUUCCAGAUUUGUAUGCACAUGAUUUAGAAGAUGCCAUACAAUUUUGGUUUUUAACAGAAUAAAUCCUACCCCACGUUACAUACCAUAAUGGGAGUUCCCCUAAACUCCCUUCUCCAACACACUAGGUUAUGGAUAAACCACUAUUGGUUCACAAAUAAUAACUGUCAUUUGGCUGUGGACACACAGCAAGUCCCCACAAUUGGAUUCUAGAUUUGGUUGUGGAUUCACAGCAAAAAAAUCCUACAAAUGAAGCCUGCUUUUGCCUGUAGAUUAUACAACAUAUACCCGCAGUUGGAAUCUGUCUUUGGCUGUGGAUGCAGUGUAACACCGCAAACUCGACCUGGACAUUAUGGCUGAAUCUUGAUGAUUUACUUUAACUCGCUAGAAAACCCACGAAUUUACUUUAAAAUCAUGUGGUUAAACUAGUGUUCACUUUGAUAAAUUGUUUUCCAGUUUUAGAGAAAUUUCUUGUUAAAACUGUUACUUUAUUACAAUAAAACAUUAAAGUAAUUGUAUCAUUUUGUAGUGGAAUCUACUAAGCUAUAAGGUUUUGAAAAUCGUGAUUUAGUUUGCAACAAAUCAUUUUGCAAAUAGAAAUUUAAUACUACUUAAUUUGGAAAAUCACGCUAAAACGAAAGCAAAGUCCAAAAUAAUUUACGGUUUGAAAUUCUAAAAAGCCCAAAUUAGACAUAAAGUCUAUUUAAACCAAUUUAUUGAAAGUGUAACACCCUAAACCCGGCCUAUAUGUUAUGGCCAAAUCUAGAUGUGUUACGAAAAAAAGUUUAUAAAAUGACUUCCUUGUUAUUGGCAAACCAUCGUAACCAUUAUUACUUAGUAUAUCUGAUUUGUUUGGAAAACUUAUUGAUAUACUUAUUUGAUUUAAAAUCGUUGCUCGCUUACGCCUUUUUAUUAAACCAAAUAUUUUGCAGCGGAGUUUCUUUACAACAUCAUAUUUUGGAAAAUCAAAUUGUUUCUUGAAAAUCGUUAUUUUAGAAAAGUUUUCAUUUUCAGAAAAAUUAUUUUAUCAGUUGUUAUGCUGAGAAAACAAAAUAAAAUCCAAAACCAAAAAUAAUCGCAAAAAGUCUAGAGAGUCCCAAAAUGACAAUACUCUUAAAACUAGACAAGCUUAAACUAAUUUUAAAAGAAUGAAAUUUUACAGAAAUGUGGACACCACUGAGCUUCCGUCGCACCGACCCACCUAAAUCUGAGGGUUACUUGAACAGAACAAACAAACAGAGAGUGAGUUUUGAAACUUAGUGUCUAACGCAUAUAUAAACAAAAAUUCAGAAUCAAUCUCAUGCAGAACAGAUACAAGUGUAAACCUUUUAUAAAAUUAGAAUUGUACAGAUACAAAUAUGCAACAUCCUACCCUCAUCCUCUACACACCAACUCCGACCAUCCUAUCACACCACGUGGGGUAUAAAAUACCCAUCCAGCCCUACACACCGUAUAGUGUUUAUAUGACACUUUUUGGAAUAAUCGCAGCAGAGUUGCCAGUAUAUAUGCGAGAUAUCACCUCACAUAGAACACUUCCUCCUCAUAAUACAAAUCCCGCCUCAUAGCUAGAUACAGACAAAAUAUCAUGUAAAAUAAAUUAACAGAUACUAGAGUUAACAUAUCACGCGUGAGCGUAUAAUAGAUAUUACACAUGCUUAUGCAUAACAAAAUAGAUCAUACAUAUUGUAUUCCAUAAUACUCAUAUAAAUGUUAUUUACGUCAAUCUCAAUCUAACAGAGUAGCAGAUUUCAUGCUUUAACGCUUAUACCACACAUAUAGACCCUAUAGAAGGCCCACAGUCGAUCGAGACAACAUGUAUGUCGCUAGGGAAAAAAUUUGUAAUUUGGGCCCAUAUACAUGUAUGAGCCCACACACCCAAAAUGGCCUUGCCCAUGUGGCUCACCAACCUAGCACUCAGCCCAUACGGUCCAAAAUGGCCUAGGUCGUGUGUCACACACAGCCGCAUGUUGCACACAGCCUACCACAUAGCCAGUCACAAAACUGUUUGGAGUUGAAAAGCCCAAUUUUUGGCUUUCGUCAAUCAUCAUUUUCUUACGUUUUCAUUACACACCUGGUUUGAUUCUGACGCAAAAGCAACCCUAUGUCCACCGAAACCUAAAAAUAGCAUUCCAACGCCCAAUUUCAGUGAACAUUUACAAAACUCAAACAAAAACUAUCCAAAAACAUAGCCUCACAAUAGCAUCCAACGCACUCGCACACUUAUCGUCAACAAAUAGGAAACACCCAACACUCAAUUCGUUGGCGGAGCACCAAUUAUGAUAAUGCAAAAAUUUUAUGGAUUCUCAACACUAUCGAUCCGAAUGUAAGAUUGAUGCUUUCCAAUUAUGAUAAUGCGAAAAUUUUGUGGGAUGGUUUACAUGAAUUUUUUUUGUUGUCAACGAUCAACGUAUUCAAUAAUUAAAAUAAAAUAUUAGUCGUUUUUAGAAAACCAAGACUAUGAGUGUUGUAGUUUAUUUCAGUAAAUUAAAGGUUUUGUGGGAUGAACUAGAUAAUCAUGAACCAUUGAUUUGUUGCAAGUGUGGACAAUGUUUAUGUAACUUAGGGAAGGCGCAUGAACAAUGUCGUGAGCAUGAUUGACUUCAUCAAUUACUUCUUGCUCUCUAUUGUAAUUGUUAUGCUCAAACUAGGUUUACACUGUUUUACCAAGAUCCUUUGCCUUCCUUAAAUCAGGCAUUCCAACAAAUUACUUAGGAGGAACAUGUACGUGGAAUUACACUGAUUAAGGAAGAGAAGUCUGAUAUUUUAGGCUUUGCUAUGCGUACAGAGGGUCAUAACAAAGGCCGAGCUAAUUGUAUUGAUAAGUCAACCUUGUUGUGCACUCAUUGCCAUCGCAAAAGGCAUGAGAUGGCUACCCAUUUUGAAUUACAUAGCCACUUGGAUUGGCGGCUUAAGAAGUAUGGGAAGCCAGAGAAGAAAAGUGAUGAUCGUGGUGGUAAGACAAGUGCCACAUCUUCCACGUAAGUGUUUUAUUUCAAAGGAUCACAAUUAAACAUUAGAUUUCUCAUUUUUAAUUUUUUUAUUUUUUUAACAGCUACGUAAUUAACGAGUACCAAUUUUGGGUGUUGUAGGGGUUCUAUAACUUUCCCUAUAUGUAAUCGACUCUUGCACCCACUUUUUUUUCUCUAGAAUUCAAUGCAAACCUUAGAUUUAUCUUUUUAAAAGAAUUUUAAAAUCUCUUUAUAAAAGACGAUUUUUUUAGGUGACCAAUCACACUUAAGAAAAACAAAUCGGUGGCAACUCCUUUCUAAUAAAUGUAAAAAAAUUUUUAAACAAAAUAAGGUUGAAAUAAUCUAGUUGUCGUUAUACUUUGAUAAAAUUUUAGAUUUAGUCCUUAUACUUAAAAGGUUAAAAAUUAAGUCUUGUUUUUAUUUAAAAAUCUUAGUCCUAUCGUUAAUAUUGUUUUUUUUUGUCAAAAUUUGUCAAGUUGACAUAUUAAUUAGGUUUCUCUUAUAUAUCGUGGUAUAUGACUAACACAAAAUAAACAAGUUGACAAAUUCUACAAAAAAUAUCAAAGAUGAUAAUAGUUUAAUUAAAAUUUUUAAAUUAAAAAAGUAAGGGAUUAAAUUUAUAACUUUUAAAGUACAAUGAAUGAAAUUAUUGAAAUACAAGAACUAACAACAUAUUUUAAAAUAUUACUAGUAAAUUAUAUAUCUACAACAAGAAUUGUAACCUCUUAUAUUAUAUUCUUGUAUCUAUUUUUGCAUCUUUCAUUAUAAUAUGAUUUAUUAAUUUUAAUAUUUUUAUAGAAUAAUAUGCUUUAAAUAGUUUUUUGUAUAAUUUAUAAAAAUUAUAAUAAACUUACAAAAUAAUUUAAUGAUAUUUAAUUAUUAACCAAAAAAAAUGAUAUCAUAUAUAUUAUGUAUAUAUUAAGAUUCCGAAUCAUUAAUUAUAUAUCUACGCAUUAUAAUAAAUUCAUCUUUCAAAAUUUUCCUUAUAAUUAAAGCAUAAAUUAUAUUUAUAAUAUUAUAAAUAUAUUUUAUCAUAAAUAUUCUUUCAAAUAUUUUUUAAUGUUUAAUAAUAAGUUAAUUUAUAAAAUAUUUUUUCAAUAAAUUAAUGUGAUGAGAUCGUUAGGUGCUUGGAUUUGGUGAAGGGGGAUGAAGAGAAAAGGGAUGGAAGUGAAUAAAAAUGUUGAGAAAUCGAAAGGGUUAGCGAGGGAAGCCGCCAUGAAAGGUGGUUCAAUGGAUAUGAACCAUCAAGCUUUUGUGGAUGAUGUUACUCAAGGUUGUUGCAAGUAAAUUAAAAAAUAUUUUUUUAAAUUAUUUUUUUGUUAAAAAACAUUUUUUAUUUUUUAUGUGGCAUGCCACAUUAUCAUAGUAUCAUGUGACAACUUCUGGUGAUUUCUGUCUGUAACAUUAGUCAAAUCAACAGUUAAAUCGUUCAACUCACAGUUUUUGUUAAAUGAAGAGGUCAAUUGGUUUUUUUGGAAUCAUUGAGUACUCAAUUGGUGCACUUUUAUCAUAAAGGCUAAAUUAAUUUUUUUAAUUUGUUAUUGUUGAGGGCUAUAACAAUAAAAAAAUUAAUGUAAAAUGAAAAAAAUGUUAGAGCUAAAUUUGUCAUUAUAACUAAAAUGUAAAACCAAAAUUUUUUGAAAAAUGAAAAAAAUGGAAAAUCACAAAUUCUAUCACUUAUGUUUGCUUAAAAUUAUAGUUUUGGUCACCAAUCUUUUGAAGUAAAUAUAUGGUCACCAAUAACUCACCUUAAAGUUAUACCCCUACGCAAGAAAGGAUUAAAUGACAUUGGAAUACCAUAAAACUUGUAUCUUUUUUUAUUCAUCUAAUACCAUUUUAACAUUUUCAUUUUAAAAAAUUGACAUAUCAUUUUGAAUUUGAUCUUUUUCAUGGUAUCUCAAAUUCAUUUAAUCUUUCCCUCUCUAAAAAAGCUAAUGUAACACAUUAAUGACAUCAUUUCAAACAAAGUUUUAGGUCAAAUUAUUCAUCUAGUCCUUGUAAUUGUUUUUAUAGGUGAAUUUCAUUAUUAUUCUUUUAUUUUCUUAGGCUUAAAUACACAUUUACCCCUAAUUUUAUCCCAUUCUCCUUAAUUGGUAUUUAUGGUUUAGAAAAUUUUAUAAAUAUAUUAUUUUUUAAGAAAUUAUAAGAAGAUUACAAAAAUUCCAAAAUAAUAUAAAAAAGCCAAGGAAAACCUAGAAAUUCAAAAAAAAAAAAAAAACGUCGACAUUGAAUUUGCUGUUUCACAUUCAAUUUUUGGAGAAGUAGAAUUUUCUAACUUAUUUUCCAUCAACUUGACUUCAAUUUUCAAUCACAAUCAAUUGCAUUCAAGAGCACCACAUCUGUUUGGAUGAAACAAACCUCUCAAUUUUAAGAUAAACGGGUCUUUAGGGUUAUAAAUUGAGGGCCUUUUCCACAAUUGCGGGUGAUUCGUUGAUAAUAACCUCAACAUUUCUGUAUCACAUUUCAAUUUUUAAUUUUUAGAGAGAUGAUUGGGUUACAAGACUGGUUUGAAGUGAAGAUAUUUCAAAAGAAGAUCGAAUACUCUACCAAUAGUCAUAAUUUAAAAUUCAGGUUAUGUUUCAUUUCAGCUAAGUUAAAUGUUAAGAUUGAGGUUAAACCUUUUAGAGGUUGCUCACAAAAGGAUCAAACCUUUAUAAAAUUGCCUAAAUGAAGGUUAAACCUUUUAAAAUAGACAAAUAAGGGCCUAACCUUUUAAAAGGUGUUCAAAUAAGGGUUUCUCAAACGUUGUAUAUCAGGUUAUGUGUUUUACUCUAAACACAUCGACAUUUACCUAUUUUUUCUAUAAAUUUGGUUGAAGUGCAUGAAAAACCCUUAUUUGAGCACUUUUGUAAAGGUUAAUCUCUUAUUUGACCAUUUUGAAAGGUUUGAUCCUUAUAUAAGUAACCUCUAAAAGAUUGAGCACUAAUUUGACAAGUUUGAGAAAUAUCUAAAUUUGUUUUCAUGAAUCAAGAAAUUAAAAAAGAAAUGUUGAGAAAUAUUUUAGAGAUUCUUAGCUUUGACAAGUUCCCUCCACCAUCUCCCUGCCUCCAGUCCCACCUCUUCUCUUAUGCUCCUUCCAGCUUCUUGCCUUUUGUGUGUUGAAAAUUCAAAGGAACAAAAUAUCAACCUACAUCAUAAGGCACGAUCGCCAGAACUUUACUUUCUAGCCUGUCGAUCCGAUCCAAUCCAAUGAAAGAAGAACAAGGAGUCUUAAGAUCUGUCAACUUUAUUUCAUUUUCAUUUUCUUUGUCAUUUUCUAUGUUUCAUGUCGAAUACAAUGAAAGAAGAACAUAGAAAAAUGUGGCCUAUUUAUUUCCCAAUCAUCAUGAAAUUACUUGCCAUUGACUUAGAAUUUUCUCACCAAUUUUCAAGCAAUCUGACAUGAUUUCUCAAUCACAAUUAAUUGAAUUCAAGAUCUUUUUAGAUGACACAAACAUUUCAAUUUUAACACAAACCAAUAUUUCGGUUAUACUUCAGUGCUUGACAAGCACUUUCACAUUUGUGGGAUAAGAACUCUUAACAUUUUAGGAUCACAUUUAAUUCAAUUGCAUUUAAGACCUCAUGGUUUUAUUCUAUAAUUUCAGUCUUAUCAGCCUUUUCGGAAACAAUAAAACGUCGACAUUAAAUUUGUUGUUGAUGCAUUCAAUUUUUUGAGGGGUCUUUGGAGUUAUAUGUGACUUUAGCAUUGACUGACUUUUUUAUAAUUUAUCUUUUAUAAUAAGGUAAAUAUAUUAAUUUUAAUAACAUCGACAUGUUUUUUAGUAGGGUCGAGCAAAACCCAAUUAAAAUCGAUGAUAUUGGCUUAGUUGACUCGGUCAAGUCCAUUAGAUUGAUAAAAUCAUUUUUAAAAUCAGUUAUAAUGGAUAAAGGUAAUUAAUUAUCGAGUAAUGAAAUACAUAAUCAAAUCAAUUGAUUUUGUUAGAAACUAAAAGAAAAAGGGCUAAGCUGAAAAUUGAUUGCCCUUUAUUAAAAUUAACGAAUCUGUCUUUUACGUAUUAGAUAAUAUGAACAUCGCAUAUAUAAUAAGAAAAAUUACGUAUGAUUAUUUAUUAUCAUAAAAGGUUAGUUUAAAUUUAAAGUAAUCUAAUAUGUUUAUUGAACUUCAACUAUUAAAUAAAGUAUAAGCUAAAUAAGUAUAAAUAUUCUAGAAACCAUUUCUAACUGAUGAUAGGCUAAUUCGAUUAAUUUAUAAAAACUAGAUAGUAGGGUUAUAGUCCUCAAACUACACCUAAUUUAAUAACAUUUAUAUUUUUUUUAGCCUUAAACAUUUAUAGUUUUUGUUAAUUUGGUCCUUACUCUUUAAAAUUACAUAAAAAUUGCAAAAAAAUUAAAAAUUAAUUUUUAUCAUGAUUUUAAUAACAUUUAUAUUUUUUUUGUGGUUUGGUAACUUAUCAACUUGACUCUUACUUGUAACCAACUUUUCUAACCUUUUUCGUACCCUUAACCUAAGUCCCGUUACAAUUUCUAAAGACCUCUUGAUUGGUGUAUCAUCUCGAUUUGUUUUUAUAGUGGUGGAGAUUUGUUUUUUGUAGUGGCAUGAUUGCCAGAACUUUACUUUCUAUCCUGUCGAUCCGAUCCAAUGAAAGAAUAACAAAGAGUCUUAAGAUCUGUCAACUUUAUUUCAUUUUCAUUUUCUUUGUCAUUUUCUAUGUUUCUUGUCACAUACAAUGAAAGAAGAACAUAGAAAAAUGUUGCCUAUUUAUUUCCCAAUCAUCAUUCUAACAGGCCGAAUUAGCCCAGGCCCAAACAUUAAUAAAAUGUCCAGAUUACAAAAUAACCAACCAAAAAUUAAAAGCCCAAAAUAAUAAAAUAAAACCCAUUACAUUAACCCAAAACUCCAGCCCAAUUACAUUGAAGCCCAAAAAAAAUAGUUUUUAGAAACCCCUAGGGUUUCUGGAACAAUCCGCGCCGCUCCUCCAUCCGCUUCUCCACGCACGCUGCACCUUUCCACGUGCGCCUCCAGCUGGCAGUGUACCUCCAAUGCAACAAACAAAGCAACAAGCAGCAAAAGAAACGGAAAAACAACAAAAAAAAAAAAGAAAGGAGCAACAAUGUAUAACAGAUUGAUAACAAAUAAUAGAAAAAAUAGCAGUAAAUAGGAAAAAAAAUUAAAAAUAAUGAGGGUAAUUUCAUUUUUUUCUCUGUUUUGGCUAUAAAGAGAGCCGGUCAAAAUCUCUAAAGGGGGAUUUAGAAAUCAAUCAGAAAACAAGUAUUUUGUACCAACAAUUAGAGAAAAAAAAUACAAAAAUAGGGAUUGAAGGUUUUUUUUUCUUUCGUUUCGAUUUAUUUUAAAAUAGCAUAGAAAAUAAAAAGAAGGCUUACCUUGCGACGCCUUCAGAUCCUCUCGAAAAGGGGCUAAAAGGCCCUAUGUGGCACAGAUUUGACCACUGUUCACGGUGGAACCGCAGCGGAGGCGCAGAGGAUUGGCAUCAAUUUAGGCAGGGUUUGAAACCCUAGCAGAGAAAAAAUUAGGGUUGAUAGAUUUUUUUUAAAAAAAUGGCAAAAUGUUGUUUUAAAAAAUUUUGUUUUAAAAAAAUUGUUGCUUUUAUAAAGGGUGUAAAACGGCGUCGUUUAGGGCAUGUUUCGAUGGCCCCAAAACGGCGCCUUAUAAGGCAACCCCCGACGACCCGACCUGCUCCAUGGGGGAUCCGCGUGGUUUUUGUUAAAUGGGUUAUGUCUAACCCUGGCCCUUCUACUUUUUAUACUUGUUUUAAUUUGAUCCUCUUUUUAUUUAUUUUUAUUUCUUUAAAUUAAGCCUGAUAAUUUUUUUCCAUUACAUUUUAAUCCUUAAUGAAACGGCGCGUUUUAGAGGAGAAGGGAAAAUUACCCUUCUAGUCCCUUCUUGUUAUUCGAGUGUUCAGAAGGGUCCUUUUUUGUUUAUUUUUUAUUUGCCCCAAAAUUUUGUUUUAAAGCUUAAUUUAGUCCUAUUUUGUUAUUUUAGCUAUUUUAUUAUUAGAUUAAUUAAUUUAAUAUUAUUAUUACUGCUAUUAUUUUACCCCUAUUAUUUAUAUAUUUAUUAUUAUAACUAUAUCAUUAAAUCAAUUAGUUUUUACAUUAUUAUUUCCAUUCUGUUUUUUAUUUACUUACUUAAAUACUUUAAAUGCAUUUAUUUUAUUUCUUAUUUUUUUAUGAAAUUUCAAAACUUUAGACUAUUUUUUUGUUACUAUAACCCUAAUUUCAUUCAUUUUAUAAUAGUUUUUUUUAAAAUAUUUCUUAGAUUAAUUCCCUCGAUGUUAUUUUGUAUAUUUAUUUAUCUUUUUAAAUUUUCGAUAUUGUCUUAUUGUAUUAUUGUUGUUACUAUCAUUAUUCAUUAUUAUUGUUGAUUUUAUUCUUCUUUGAUUAAUGUUUAUGUUAGAGUAAUAGGUGUUAUGUGAUCAUUGUUAUUAUAUGUUAUAAUUUGUUGACACUCGUAUUGUAGUCAUUCGUCAGCUUAAUAUUUUGAGUAACAUUUUAAAUAUUACAUUAAUUUUGACCCAAAUGCAUAAUUUUUUAAUAAGUAAUAUUUCGUAUUGUGGAAUUUGAGAGAUCAUUCCCUAACUUACGGGGUCUCGAUUUUUUUGAUAAAUCUGAAUAUAAGAACUAUUUUAAAAAAAUACGUUUUAAAAAUUAUCUCGGGAAUUUAAAAAGAAGCGUGUUCUAACUUACGGAAUAUGAUCUUUUUUUAAAAAUCGAGAUAAUCAAAUAUCUUUCAAAUAAAUAAACUUUUCGUGUUUAUUCUCGUUUUAGGAUUUAAGAUAUUGUGUCCUAACUCACGGGACACAAUUCUUUUUCUCGAUUAACGUGAAAUACGCCCUUUUUAAUUUUAUCUUUUUAAGUGAUUUUAACAAAGGAUUGUAUUUUAAAUCUCUUCAAAAUUUUCAAUUUUUCGACAUUGAGACAUUAACUAAUCAAUUAGGUACCAAUUUUGGGCGUUACAAGGGUGUUAACCCUUCCUUGUACAUAACCGACUCCCGAACCUAUUUUUUCUGAAUAUUAUAGGCCAAAAUUGUUUUAAUAAAUUAAACCCUUAAGAGGUGACUCGAUCACAGCUCAUAAAAAUUAUCGGUGGCGACCCUUGUUUUAAAAAAGGUGGUUUCAACAGCUUGGCGACUCCGCUGGGGACAAAAAUAAGAGUCAAGCCGCGAGUUGAUUAUUUCUUAUCUUUUUGUCAGAAAUUGUGAAUUCGAUUUAAAUUUAUGAUCUUUUCAUUGCAUUUUAUGGUCUGCAUCAUUUUUAUAUGCUUGCUUUACUACUUCGAGUCUUUUAAUCUUCGCAUAUUGUAUUGCAUAACCGUUCGGUUAUACCCUUUUAAGCGGGAGUGAGAAAUUAUUCUUUCGUGAGGUUUUCACCUUCGUAUAGGAUAGUGGAUUACUUUCAGGAUACAUCCAUACCUAUGUCUUCGUGAGAUUCUCAUCUCCGUAUAGUCAUAGGGAAAUGUAUUCCCCUGAACUGAACUCAGUCCGUAUGAGCCUAUAAUGGGUGAGGAUUGAGGAAUCUGCUGGUUCAGGUACCCUUUCUUUAGAACUAAACCGCAUGUAGUGAGCCCUAAGAGCAUACCCUAGGUAGAACCACUCCAAACCCCUAGUGGUCACCCAAAUAGGUGCUCUAUUUAUUUUUGCUUGCUUGUUUUUGCCUUGUACUAACCUAUUUGUUAUGGUUAUGAGUGCAUUGCAUUUUUAUCAUAAAAAAGAUGUGUUGAUUCACGUUCAGUUGCUAAAUAGAGAGCUUGUCAUGGAAAACGAAUUUCUUGAUAAAGUGGAAGACAAUGCGGUUGUCCGGAUAUGGUCCAAGAAAAUGUGAAGAAAGAAGGGUGAUAGUCUAAUGGAGGACUACACGACCUUGCUUCGUUGCCUGAUGAUUCAAGUUGACAAAGAUUAUUCGAGAGUCUUCAAUGUCCCGACCUUUUUAAAGAAGCUAACGAGCGUCACGAGGAUGAGCGAGUAAUGAGUUGCGGCCCGGAUCAAGCAAAAAAAAGAUAGAGGAGACACCCUUUUUGAAGAGUUCACGAGAUUUAUCUUAACAUCUAGACGAAGAAAAAGAUCAAUCUCUUGCCUAGAGUAUGAGGGCAAAGCCGUAUAUAUAUCCGCUUUAUGUAAAUAAAUUUGUUUCUAGUAAAGUUUUUCUAAUAGAAUUGAAUCAGAAUCAACGUCUCUUUUUGCAUUCAUUCCAUUCAUCUGCAUUGCAUUUCAUUGCAUCUAGAAUUUCACAAAAGGACCCUAAUUAAUCGAAAUUGUUAUAGCUACCUUGAAAAACUAACGAAAAUUUACCAAUUAAAUAUUCCUAUGGUACCCAUUGCAAAACUAAAGUAAUGGAUCAAAUAUUAGAAAGAUUAGAAACAAAUGCUGAAGGAUAAACAUAACUGCUUUGGCUUAGGGUACAAGCCAGAUACAAGACAAAGAAGAAAUAGGAAAGGAGAACACGUUUGAGCGGGGAUGAGGUCAAAUGGGAGGGAUUAUUCAUCCCAGGCGAAGCAUGCCAAGAGAAGAAAUAUUGAAAACAUGUUUGGGAAACGUUCACAUCAAUGCCAUAUACGAAGAAGCAAUUGAAGGAGUGACCUUGUUAGAUAUCCGCCCUUAUGAACCUAAGAGUGUGCUAAACAAUUGGACUGCAGAAGAAAUUCUUGUAGUGUUUAGAGCUUACUCAUAGUAAAUGUUCAGAACACACUUGUUGCUUUUAGCCUAGAAGUGAUAAGAAUCCCUCUGUGAAAUAGGCUCAUGUAUAAAAAUCAUUAUUUUAAUGAAGUACAAUCUUUGCAUUCAUUUUGAGCAAAAUUUCUUUUAUUCUUUUCAUACGAGUAUUAUUUUGGAUUCUUUAAUUCUUUUGGGAUUUUCUUCCAAAAUCAUUCUUUUAUUACAUCAUAAUCAUACUGUAACAAAUAAUGUAAUAGCCUGAAUUUCAGUGGUGUCGGAAUGGUGAGUCAAGAUCACUAAGUCUGACAAAUGAGUAGAAAAUAUUAAUUAAUUUAGUAAGAAUAAGUAAAUGUGAAGUUAGGAAAAUUUUUUGAAAUAGUGAAUAGUGUACUAGGAAUAAAUAUUAAAAUAAUUAAAAUAAAAAAUGCGGUAUCGAGACCUCGAAGAUUUUAAACCAAGCAUAAGUCUUUUAGAAGUAUUUUUAGAGUGUCAUUGAGUUGGUAUUAAAGUUUCGUUAGAAAAUUUUAACGCUCGGAUAGUUAAUUAACCAAAAAGGACUAAAUUGAAAAUAGUGUAAAAUUUGUUAAAUUGUGAUUAAAUAGCUUAAGUGAUUAAAAAGGAGGGAUUUAAAAGGCAAUUAGGCCCAAAUUAUAUGGGCUGGACGGUUGGGUAAGAAAAAUCAGCAGAAUGUAAGGAGAAACAGGGGCAAAAUUGGAAACUUAACAAAUUAAACAUAUAAAACAAAGACAAAAGUGAAAAAUCUAGAGAUCUGUCACAAUUUAUCAGCAAAAAUGCCAUAGGAGGUCUGAAAGAAGCUGGUUUUUCAUAUAUUUGAAUCAUGUAAGUUUAAUUCUUGAUUAUUUCUUCUAAUUUUUGUGAUUUUGAUACUUUUACAAUUAGGUCCAACUAAUUAUUUCAUUAGUUUUUGAUUUCAUGGCUGAUUUUGAAAGUUACCAUUGAUGAGUGUUGGAUUUUUAUGAUGAAUAAACAUGGAAUUAAAGCUUUAAUUUUGUUAUAUGAUGAUUUUAUUAAGUAAUUUUGAUAGAAAUUGAUUUUUGGGACCUAAUUGUGAAAAAGUUUGGAAUUAGGGUUUGGUGUUGCGGUUUUGAAUAUGAAAGGCUAUGUAGUAGUCUAAAAUAGUUGGAAAAGGUGUUAAUUGAGAAAAAUUAGAUCAAUUGAGGGGUUAAUUGAGUAGGACCAAAUUGUAAAAAACUGUAAAGUUUGAGGUAAAAGUGUAAUUUCGAAAAUUUAAGGGCAUAAAUUGUGAAGUGAAUUAGAAUAGAAUUAUAUGCUGAUGAAUGAAUAAAUUUGUAUUUUAGAUCGAGAACCCGAAGCAAGCCGAGGAAAAGAAAAAGUAGUUGAUUAGUCCCUGAACUUUUACAAAUUCUGCAAAUCGACCCAGGUAAGUUCAUAUGGCUGAAAUUUAAUGAUUAAAUGUUAAUUUCAUGAAUUAUGUAAUGUAUGAUGAAAUGUAUUUAGUGUUGAAAUGAGAGUAAAAUAAAAAUGCGAAAAUCGAAUAAAUGAUCAAAUUAAGCGGAACGCCGGAUUUGAGUACUUCUGAUCAAGAGACAAAGUGAUAAGUGGUAGCUUUAGCUACACUUAUCUGAUCAAGUGAAAAAAGUGAUAAGUGCUACACUUAUCUGAUCAAGAGACAAAGUGAUAAGUGGUAGCUUUAGCUCACUUAUCUGAUCAAGUGAAAAAGUGAUAAGUGCUAUACUUAUCUGAUCAAGUGACAAAGUGAUAAGUGGUAGCUUAGCUACACUUAUCUGAUCAGGGCCAAAUGAUAAGUGAUCAUACGUAAGACCAUAGUUAUACUAUGGCCAAGUGAAAGUGAAGUACUCAAUUUUCCGUAACCGUUCCUUAAUUUUGAUCAAGGAUGGUAAGUGACAAUAGGCCCAAAGAAAUUAUGGUAAAAGAAUAAGUAGUGAGUUUAUACCAAGGACUCUCCAAAGAUUGUGGUUGACAAGUAAACUUAGUAAUGGUGUAUAUUGUAUAAGUGUACAAAUGUUUGGUAAGAUUUAUGUUUGUGCCUAUGAACUUACUAAGCUUUUCUAUAGCUUACAUGUGUGUGUUUAUUGUUUUUCUAGAUUAACGUAUUUAUACAUUCGGAGGAUCGGAUCUACUUCGAGAAUCACACUAUCCAGAUAUACUCCGGUAGAUUUUGUUAAACAACUUUUUGGAUUUAUAUGGCAUGUACANNNNNNNNNNNNNNNNNNNNNNNNNNNNNNNNNNNNNNNNNNNNNNNNNNNNNNNNNNNNNNNNNNNNNNNNNNNNNNNNNNNNNNNNNNNNNNNNNNNNNNNNNNNNNNNNNNNNNNNNNNNNNNNNNNNNNNNNNNNNNNNNNNNNNNNNNNNNNNNNNNNNNNNNNNNNNNNNNNNNNNNNNNNNNNNNNNNNNNNNNNNNNNNNNNNNNNNNNNNNNNNNNNNNNNNNNNNNNNNNNNNNNNNNNNNNNNNNNNNNNNNNNNNNNNNNNNNNNNNNNNNNNNNNNNNNNNNNNNNNNNNNNNNNNNNNNNNNNNNNNNNNNNNNNNNNNNNNNNNNNNNNNNNNNNNNNNNNNNNNNNNNNNNNNNNNNNNNNNNNNNNNNNNNNNNNNNNNNNNNNNNNNNNNNNNNNNNNNNNNNNNNNNNNNNNNNNNNNNNNNNNNNNNNNNNNNNNNNNNNNNNNNNNNNNNNNNNNNNNNNNNNNNNNNNNNNNNNNNNNCAAAAUUGGAAUCUUGAGAGAAGAAAUGUUGAAGAUUGAAGUCGGAAUCUGACCUGUAAGGCCUUUAAUUGCUUGAAUAUUAAGCAUUUCCAAACUAAAAAGAUUACCAAUUUCUUCAGGAAUUUAACCUGCAGACAUAGUCGAAACAUCAAUAUGUUAAAUUACCUAUUUUGUUAGAGUAAAUCAAAGAGGAUUUUUAUUUUUUUCGUUAUGAAAUAAAAUGGAUAUGUUAGAUUCAAAUCAUAUUUAAGUAUAUAUUAGUUCUUGAAAGAAAGAGUUCUUAUUUUUGGUAUUUAUAAUGCAAAUAUUUUUUAAAAAAUUUAACAAAAAUGAGGGGGAAAAUGUGUUUAAACUAAAGACAUCAAGGAAAAGGCAUACCUUCUAGGUUAUUUAACCCCAAGUAUAAUUGUUUAAGUUGUGUCAAUUUCCCAAUGCUUUUUGGAAUGAUCCCACUAAAUUGAUUAAUAGACAAUUCCAAAAUUUGAAGAUUGCAGCAUUUGUCUAUACUUGAUGGAAUAGAACUUGAUAAUUCAUUUCUUCUCAAGUAAAGCUCUUUCAGCUUGGGAAGUUGGACACACAGAUCAUCGGGCAAGCCACCAGAAAGACUAUUAUCACGAAAAUGAAUCCUUUUUAAAGACGAAAUGUUAAAGAUGGAAGAUGGAAUCUGGCCAGAUAAUUGAUUGAAUCCCAAGGCCAAUAUCUCUAAAUUGGACAUGUUGACAAAUGUUUGAGGGAUUGUGCCUGUGAAGUUAUUAUUUCUCAUUUCCAACCUUUGAACUCUAUGCAAGUUCCCAAGCCAUGAUGGAAUUUUCCCAUUAAGACGGUUGUAGCUUAAUCGAAUGAUCCUCAAACGAUGCAAUUGGCCCAGUUCUUUAGGUAGAUGGCCAUAGAAAUUGUUGUUGCUCAAAUCGAGAGAAAAUAAAAAUGAAAGAUUUCCAAGGUGUGGAGGGAUAGUACCCCUAAGAUUCAUGUUUGUAAGAUUCAAAACUACAAUUCUUUCAUGGAUAAUGCCACAAAAAACACCAAGCCACUUACAAACAGAGGUAGAAUUCGUCCAAUUGUUUGCCAACACAUUUUGAGGAUCGACAAUGCGAUCUUUAAACUCAAAGAGUGCAAACUGAUCGGAGUUAAGAUUCCGGACUGUCAUAGCCAAGGAAACAAUAGAACAUUGUAUGAAUAAAAGUGAAAAAAGAUGAAAGCAAGUGUUGUAGUUCAUGAUUGCAAGACGAAAUAAGCCAGGAAAAGAAAAAGUAGGAAAAGGGCAGUUGAAUUGAUGAAGAAAUAGCCAGCCAACAUGCUUAAAUAGCCUUCAACCCUUGCACACUUCUCAUACAUAAAGUUCACUGCCAUUACAACAAGAAAACUCAUAUCUCCAUUCAUACCCAUCCAUACUUUAUUUGACUAACUUUUCCCUAACAAGUGUUCAGUGAGGAGACAAAUCACUUUGGAGCUAUUCACUGACUUCUCCAACCUUAGUUUCAAACUCCUAGCCCAUCAAUUCACUUUAAUUGAAACGAGAUACACGAGUCUUUCGGCUUAUAUUUUUAACUUACUACUUCUCUUUUUAAUUUAAUUUUUGUUACUUUUCAUAAUAUUUUUUGAGAAAUCCCAAUAUUCCAGUCUGAAAUUUCUUCACUGCCACGUCCAUCUCCUGGGUAAGUCCAUGGUUAGGCAGCCCACUUUGGGAGCAGGAUUGUAAUUGUAAUUCUAUCCGACUCAUUUUACUAUUUAGAAAUAUAAAAGUAAUAUUAUAUUAUUUUUUAUAUUUUUAUAAAUUUAAUUUUAAUUAUAAUUUUUAAACAAUAAAACGAGUCAUUUGUAUUUGCCUAGUCUAAAUUGAAUCAGGAGUCAAAAAAAUUUUAAUCAUAAUUUACUAUUAUUUUAAUGAAUUAAAUUUUAACCUACUACAACUAGUAGUUGCAGAAAAAAUAUCAUUCCUUUAGAAAAAUGACAACUUAUGAAGCAUUCAAUAAGAGUCAUUGGAAUAAAUGGUAACGAAAUCAUAAUUCAAUAUAAAGCUAAAAAAUGUACCAAUCUAUAUAAAUAAUGUAAGAUUUGUGAUACCUAAAUUAUUAUAGUUUCCAUAAAUAUAUGGAGAUAUUUUAUUAGGAAAUAAUUUUAUAUAUAAAAUUUGUUAUUUUCUUUUGAUAGAAAUUUAAUUAUGUUAUAUGUAGAAAAAAAAUAUUUAUAGAAAUAUUAUUAGUAGAAAAUCAUAAAUUUGUGUGUGGCAAAAAAAUUUCACCACCAAGAAAGGGACAAAUUAAACAACUUGAAACAAGUCAUUGGUUGUUUAAAAUAUUAGAUAAUAAUUUCAGUGAAGAAUCAUUAAAAUUAUGACAAAAUUAUUGUAGUAUUAAAUUGGAAAAUCUCAAUAAUAUUAUUAGAGUAAAACCUAUGAUCUAUCUAAACAAGAUAUAGAAGAAUUUGAUAUACAAAUUAAGGUUAGAAAUCAUGCGGAAAUAAAAAAAAAAAGAAAAAAAAGCUAGUAUGAUCAUUAAUUAUAAAAGAUUAAAUCAAAAUAUUAUUUUUUAUAGUUACUUGAAUUAAUCAGGCUAAACAAACAAAAUAUUUAAGUAAAUUUGACUGCAAAUCAGGAUUCUAGCAAAUCAUGAUAACAGAAAAGUCCAAACCUUUAACGGCUUUUACUGCACCCAAUGGACAUUACCAAUGGAAAGUGAUGUCAUUUCAAUUAUGUGAUGCACCACAAAUCUUCCAAAGACUAAUGGAUUUUAUAUUUAAUAAAUAUAAAAAAUUUGUAUAGUUUAUAAAGAUGCUAUUUUCAGAUACACUAGAAUUACAUAAGAAACAUUUAAAUAAUAUUUCUUAAGAAUUCAUAAAAUAUAGAAUCAUAUUAAACCCUAAAAAUAUACCGUUAGAAAAAAGAGAGACAAAAUUUUUAUAAUAGUGGAAAUAAAAAAUUGUCCUCAAAAGAUUGAAGGGAAAAGUAUUUGCUAGAAAUGUUUAGUGAUGACAUUUAGAGAUUGUAUAUACUAGAUGAUACAUAUACCAGCUAAAAUGUUCCAAAUAAUUACGAGUCCUAGAAGGACAAAGCGAUAAAAAUAAUUUUUGGGCACGCUAGAAGGAUGAAAAACUAGUUUGUUCUAUAAAUAAAAAAAUUCUUGAAAGAAAAGAGUAAGAAAUGAAGAUGGUCACACAUUAAAAGAGACGAGUACUCAUGAAGAGACCCAAUGCAUAACUUUUAAUAAAACGCCAAAAGAGGUUCAAUACAUGAAAUUAUGAAUAUAAUAAGAUAUCUCGAUUAGUUAUAUCAUAACUAAAGAUGAUGGAGUUGAUAAAAGGAAAUUGUUGUUAACAACGAUAAUCUACGUAGAACAUUUCAAUAUUAUGGAAAAAUGAGUAUUUUGAAUGAAAAUAUACUUGAAAGCAUUGAGAUGAGAACACCUCAUCAAAAUAAAUAGACGUUUCUAUUAUAACUUAUGAAAUGUGUCUCGGACAUGAAGUCCAAACAUCCGACAGGUGUAAAGUCAAGUGGAGUAUAUGUUAGCAUAAUAAUGAAAAAAUAGAAAUCAUAAUAUAUAGAAUUGACUUGUAAUACAGACUUUCACAAGACACUUGAUUUUGAUUAUGAAAAAUUAUUAAUUUGUGAUCUUAUCAAUUCAACAUACUUCGUAUAAUCAACGAAUUAUCAAUUAACCUCAUUUAACCAAUUUCCUUCAACACAUUUCAAAUCAAAUUAAUGUGUUGACCACGCCCUUAACCCUUUUUCUUGAUUCAUUUCAUAGUCUAUUUCCAAGUACCAUAAUCAUCAACAUUUCAAUAUAUAAAGUCAUAACACAAUGAAUCCUAGUUAGAAUUUUUUUACCCUAUUAACCAAGUAUGGAACAAAAAUAAAAACCUAAUUUGUCAAGCUCAUUCAAUCAACUUAUAUUUUAUAAGAAGAGCCUAGAGUACAAUUUCUAUACACGAUUUCAAAUUCGACUAUUUGUAUUUGAGAUUGAAUUUAAAAUUCAUACUGAAAUUAUCAAAUUAACUCGCAAGCUACUCAAGUUAAACAUUAAGGUACUCGAAUUCAAGUGGCUAGAUAUCACAAACUCUUUUAGCUUGUAAAACUAUUUCUAAGGGUCAGCCCAGAAUCAUGGUUGAGCCCAAAAUCUGGUGACAAAAAUUUAAUUGUGCCAUCGGCCUAAAACGAAAAAGGCUUAAAUGGUUGGCAACCGAACUAUCAAAGAUAAACACCGCCAUACGCCACUCCCCGAAUCCGAUAUAUACAAAAACGCCUUUACCAAUUUUGUUUCUCUCCUUUUCUUUAACCUCAAUUUGGAAGGUACCCUUUCUCUCUUUAGUGCUUUCUAGGGUUUGGGUUUUAAGAAUCCUCAGAGAUGCAAUUCAUGGAUCCCACUAAGAAACGCAAGCUUGAUGAAAAUGGUAUUAUUUCAGCGGUAUCGGAACCUGACCCAAUCACCAAACUAACCCCACAAGAUGGCCGCAAGCUAAUCGAGCGAUUCACCGUCGAUCAACUCCUUGACAUCCUCCAAGACGCUGUUUGUCGUCACUUUGAUGUUCUUUCCGCCGUACGCUCUAUUGCCGAUCAAGAUCCAUCUCAAAGGAAGCUCUUCAUCCGUGGGUUGGGUUGGGAUACUACAACCGACGGCCUUCGUUCGCUUUUUUCGGUCUAUGGGGAACUCGAAGAAGCGGUCGUUAUCCUCGACAAGGCUACUGGGAAAUCCAAAGGGUAUGGAUUCGUUACCUUUAAGCACGUCGAUGGUGCUUUGCUUGCUCUUAAAGAACCCAGUAAGAAAAUCGACGGUAGAGUCACGGUGACUCAGCUGGCGGCAGCGGGGAACUCGGGGACGAAUACUAACCCUGUGGAUGUUCAUAUGAGGAAGAUUUAUGUAGCCAAUGUGCCGUACGACAUGCCAGCGGAUAAGUUAUUGGGUCAUUUUGCACAGUAUGGGGAAAUUGAAGAGGGUCCUUUGGGCUUCGAUAAGCAGACCGGAAAAUCAAAGGGAUUUGCUCUUUUUGUUUAUAAGACGGCAGAAGGGGCUCAGUCGGCGUUGGUGGAGCCAGUGAAGAAUAUUGAUGGGAGACAAUUGAAUUGUAAGCUUGCUAUUGAAGGGAAAAAAGGGAAGCCGGGACAAGAUGGGAUGAUGCAAAGUGGAGUUGGGGCUGCAGGAAAUACAGAGAUGGGGGUUGGAGGACACGGUGGUGGUUACGGUGGCCAUGUGGGGCCUGGUGGACCAGGUGGCAUGGGUGGUUAUGGUGGAUUUCCUGGUGGGUUGCAAGGGCCGCCCGGCCCAAUGGGUCAUCCUCAUCACUUGAAUUCUUCAGGAGUUGGGGUUGGGGCAUUGAGUGGGAGUGGAGGCGCCGCUGGUGGUGGUUAUGGUUCUGGUCUUAGUGGGCCGUAUGGUGGUUAUGGUGGACCAGGCUCAACUGGCUAUGGUGGGUUGACUGGUGCUGGUGCAGGGGUUGGUUUGAGUGGUGCAGCUUUAGGGUCUUCUUUAUAUAGAAUGCCACCGAACUCUGUUGGGAUGCCAUCUGGGGGAUAUCCGGAGACUGCUCAUUACAGCUUGUCUUCCGCAGCUGCUUUCCCCAGUCAGCAUCACCAAGGAGCUGGGACGUCCCCUGUGCCGAGAGUUCCACCUGGUGGAAUGUAUCCCAACGGACCACCUUUCUACUGAGGUAGUUCUCCUUGUUUUGGUAUUCUGUAAAUUCAUUUAUGCUACACUAGGUGUUAUUCGUUUUUUACUCUCUGCUGAUUGGUGACUUGAUUUCUGUCUUUGUGCUUGCUUGCUUGCUUGUUUUGUUGUACAUAUUUGUUCCUUGUGUGCGAUUGCUUGAAACUUUUUGGCUUUUCCAGCUUUUUUCUGAGUUGUGUUACUUCUGUGCUAUAUACUUGCUUAAUUGUCUGUAAGUGGUUUUUCCUUUGUUGAAGAUACCAUAUAUUGCUGCAUUUUGUUGCAUUUUCAAAUGCAUUUUUUCUGUUGCUGAUUAGCUUUUAAAUCUUCUAUUAUAUACCCAAAAUUUCGAAAUUUUAUGCCCAUAUAUUGAGCCAUAAGUAUAAAUAAACUUAUCUAGCCUCUUAUUGUUUUUGUCAUGAAUCAAGUGACUGACACCACUUGUUAGUGAAUUGUUUUUUUUUUAAAAAGCAUGUUAAAUCUUAGUAAAUAUAAGAAAUACUUUAUAUACCUUUUAACUUCAGGUGUUGAAAGGCAUGUUAUGAUCUUAGGUUUAAUCAUGUGUAGAGAACUGUCUUCUGCAGAUUUUGGGUUUUAGUGAAUGGAUAUUGUCUUGAUGAGAACAAGCUCUCUUCUAAAUUCUGUGAGAUUGAAAUGUUUCUAACAGUGAGCACGCAUACAGUUCUUUUUGGUAAACAUUUUUAACUAAGAUGCAUACAAGUCCUUUGUGUACACAUUUUUAACUAUCUGGGUUGAUUUUAUUUUACCAAUGUCCAUUAUUUAAAUGAUGUUGAGAUAAAAUGAUAUGUCCAUCUGUAGUAAGUUUUCCAAAUAUAAUAGCAGUUUUCUUGUGUUUGAGUUUUCUGUCUCCUUUUAUGUUUAUGGAGUUUUGUGAAUCUCUCUCUUGGUAGAAUUAUUUAACAUUCUAAAUUUGUACUCCAGAAUGCACACUUCAUUUGAUUCGUAGCAAGGGGCAAAAAUAGAAUAGCUAAUUUCAAUGUAAAAUGCUUCUUCCUACUUAGCUGAUAUUUCCUGUUCAACUUGCCUUAACAUGCCAGCUUUGCAUGGCAUAUUAUAAUUUUGAUAUUCUUCUUUCUUUGCUUUUUAUAAUCUAGUGAGGUGGUCAGACUGUGUGCAGAAGCCAAGAUAUCCUUUAUGCAGCCUUAAUCUUUCUAAUUGUUGAUUCCCAUUUGCUAUGUACCAAAAAGAAAAAUCUUUGUUUGCUUCUUAUAAUCUAGUGUAUUUUUUUUAGUUGAUUACCUAAUUUCUAACUACUCUGAGGGAAUAUUAUCCUCAAAUGGAAUCUAGCUUUGCAUUAUUUCAUGUUUCAAAAUGUUUUUGAUCACUGUGGAGUUGUAUGACUUUUUUUUCCUGUUGUAUUGCGUGAUGGUCUGUGCUGCCGUUUAAAAAUUUCUAUUUAUUUGACUGGACAUGAUUGCUGCAAUUGCUUUGCUUCUGUUUGAUCUUUUGUUUGUUUGAAAGUUUGAGCUGAUCCAUUCAAGUAAGUGCAGUGUUUGUUUCUAUUCCACUAAUUUUGCUUUAUACACUGCUUUUCGAUUAGCUUUGACAUUUGUUUUGCUUGGUGAUGUGGAAUGAUGAAUUGAGUUGUCAAUGGGUUUGAUUCAGGUUUAUGACAGCUUGUUGGGCGCAGAUGCUUUUUGUGGUUCUGGUGAUUGCGUGAAUGCAAGACUAUAUAUACUCUGGCUUGAUGAAUGUAUUUGCUUGGCUCUUACAGCCACUUCUCUUGAUCUGCACCUAUAAGAUGUUUAUUUCUGAUUGCUGGUUGGCAAAACAUGUGACAUAGACUAGCUUUUCUAUGUUAGGAACUUCUGUUCCAGUGGCUCUUUUAAUCAUUAGUAUAGUUUUUAAUAAUAAAAGUAGUGAGUUAAUGUUUUUUCCCCUAUUCUUGCUAAUAUCUACAGUUGCUACCGCAUCUCCCUUACUUGGAAGUUUGUUUCUUUGUUGGUUGAUGUUGCUAUAAUUUUGUCUUUUCUAUCUUGUACGCAUAUUCAAGUUGAAUGUAGUUCUUUAUUUUUCCAUGUAAAAUAUUUGGGGUGUAAUGAACCUACACUGGGAAGUUGUUACUAUGUUGUUAAAUAAAUGAUUUCUUUUAGCACUUAGCUAAACAAAGCCAUUUUCUAAUGUAAUUUAUUGUGUUCCUUAACUACUUUGAUGUACCCAGUAUAUCUAAAUGACAAAGUUUCCACCCUAAGAUGUCUUCAAGACUUUUGUGUUUUUGCAUUUUAUUAUUUAGUUGCUAAGUUUUGGUUGCCUUCUUGUGAUACUUGCCUAUAUUCCUUUUAUUGAGGAGAGGUAAUUCUGGUUUCCUGAAUGUGUUCAAAUUUGUACCCUCAUAACAUGGACCUUUUGAGUGGGUUCUUGUUUCACUGAAGAAUCUAAUAAUGUGAAUGUAGCAAGUACUUAUAAGUGUAUGUGCUGCUGCCAGUUUUUGAUGUUGUGGUGCUUGUAUAAUCUGUGUGGCUGUCGUUGGGUUCUGUUGGAUUUGUAACUGAGCACAUGCUGUGUAUCAAUUUAUUGGUGACAAUGUAUCUUUUUCUCCCAUGUGCUGCAACUGUCUCUGGCAGUCAUCUUUGUUGGUUGACUACUGUUUUGUUAAGUGUCUUGUAGGUUUUGCAGGAAACCAUUUGAAAGGCUAGUGUUUAAUUUCCCUUUAUCUUUCCUGGUGGUGGCAGUUCCUGCAGCUAAUAAUGAUAUUCUAUGCAUUAUGAAAUUUUUUUAGUCUACUUGCUGAAACCAAGGUCAAUAUCCUGUUGGAAUGGAGUUGUUCAUUCCAUGGAUCUAAAUAUGAUAUUCUAUGCAUUAUGAAAUUUUUUUAGUCUACUUGCUGAAACCAAGGUCAAUAUCCUGUUGGAAUGGAGUUGUUCAUUCCAUGGAUCUAAAUAUGCCUUUCUCCAAGACGAAAUAUACGCAUCUUAGGGCUGUUUUUGGUUAAUGGAGUGAGACUAAGAAGGCUUUUCCCUAGUCUUUCCAUCGAGCUUCAGUUGGCAACUUUUCACAUUAAUGUAUGAUGAUAUUCUUGGAUGCAUAACAUGCAAGAUCUCUCUCUAGAUGAAUUUUUGAAAGAAUUUCCCUGUGUGAUAUGCUUGUGGUAGCCGAUUUUGAUACUUGCACCUCUUAAGAUAUCUUGGCUUGUUUCUCUAAAGAGGGGUUCAUGUUAUGAAUGAUGCGUAUCGUUUUAAGGGGUAGAAACCAUUUGAUCGUGAUUUGUUUUUGCUUGCCAAAUUUGCAGACAGAAUGGUGUCAAGUCUUUUAACCAUGAUAUUUGGAUACCCUGUUGACUUUAAAUAUCUUAUCCUAGAUGCUAAAUUUGGCUUUUAUUGGAAAUUAGGAUUCUUUUCCAUGGUGUCAUUAUCUGAUGAAAAAUUAGGCAAUUUGAACUGACCAUUUAUCUAGUUAUGUUGUCCUCCUCUUUCGAUAUUCUCAUUUAUCUAUCUAGGUUGCUUUCAAGAAUAUUUUUUUCCCCAUGUUGAAAGAAACAGGAGCAUAUAUUUUCACUUUGUUUGACUAUUGGCUAGGGGAGUUGAAUUGUCUAACAUCUUUUUAUGGUGUUGAGUGGAGAAUUGAUGCUCUGUUUUUAUGCUAACCGGCAUUGGUAUCUUCUUUGUUCUCUGCCCUUUUUUGGCCAUUUCCUGUGGAACAACACUGAGCAUAAAACCAACCUCAAAGAUAAAGAUGGAAGGCCGGACGAGGCUGCACCCCAAAGCACUCAAAUGAAGCAAGUAAUGUGCGCUCUCUCAAUACAAAAAGAAAACAUCAGCAACCAUCAGUCCCCAGGAGCUAAUCCAAGACCCGAUGAUAUUGCAGCCUAACCUUGUGAUUGCUGGAGAGAAAGUGGUUGAAGUGGUGGGCUCAUUGGUGAUGUAUUAGAAUGUACAGUUUUAUAUCCCUAACCGGAGGAAGUUGUCAUGAAAUUUCCUGAACUCCACUCUUUGUAUAUCUUUGUCCUUAAUUUGAAGUUUCUAGGAAUGAGGACUUGAGUUGGAAAUAAAAGGAAGACUAUCCAACAAAUGGUCUUAUCUUUUCAUUAGAAAGAUGUGACGUAGCUUUUAUUCAAAGUGUAACCAACAAGUUCAAAGAGCGACUGGUUAAUAUCUCAGGAUUUCAAUUUUGAUAAAAUAAAAUUAAUAAACAUUAAAUAUAAAAAAUAAAUUAGUUCAAGUUAUUCAAGUACUAGUAUAAUCAGUGUUUUGGUGGGUGCAGUGGUUAUUCCCUAUUCUAUUUUUUUAAGUCAACGAGAAUAUUUUUACAUAAAUAUAUCUUCUGAUUUUGAUUUUUUGUCCUAAUGUAGGUUUAAUAGAAAAUCAGUAACUGUGUUUACAAAAUUUUAAAUCAAAGUGUCCUAAAACUGUAAAUAAGUUGAAUUUUUUUUAAAAUUUGAAAAUUAGAGUUGAAAGAUGAUGAAGUAUUUUGAAUGGAAAGAAAAAUCAUAAUCCCACUAUUAAUUAAUUAUUAUUUGAUGUAUAAGUAUGAUUAAAAUGAUAGUGAUGAUGGUGAAAUCAUAAAUGCAAAACUGUUUCCUUCCCUCAUUCCUUUGUUUCAAAGCAUUAUCUUUAUACAAAUUGUACUUCUUAGGUUAUCCAUUACACGUUUUCUCACAUUAAAUCAUUUAUUUUUUAAAUAAAUUUAGUUAUUAUCUUGCACUUAAUGAUAAAUCCGGGGUGGUUUACCCAUUAAAGACUACUCAAAACCCCUCCGCUUUCUCCACAUAAAACCCCUUUCUCCUCUCUCAAUAAAACUCUGUUGAUAAAAGAUCAACGGUAUCCGCCGUCCACCACCGGCCACGGCCACCCGUAAGCCAACCCAUCUUCUCUUUCUUCUUUUUAUUGUUCUGGGUUUUUUCUUAUAUUCCUCGGUCUUUGUAAUUCUCAUAAGUUUUUCUAAAAUUGUUUUUACUUUUAAUGAAUUCGGACUCUUUGUUAUGUAGAGAUCUAUGUCCCUUCGUAUAUCUUGAUGUAAAGUGAAUUUUAUUUAUGGAAAACAGCUGAUGAUUGUGCAAAAUACAAUUUUUAGAUGAUUUUCGUGCUUUCUAUGUUUGUGCAUGCUGCAUGCAUGUAUGUAUGUAUGUAUGAUGGUGAUGAAGUGAUAUGUCAUACAUUGUCAGGGAAAAUACUAAAACGAAAAAUACUUCUUUAAUGGAAUGUUUCAAAGCAAUAAUGGGAAAAGAAGAUUUUUAUUUUUUCUUCUUUUUAGAGUGAUGAUACUUAUGGAUGGUUAAAUUGGUGAAAACAGUUAUUGCGAUGUAAAAACGGAUGAAAACUAAGGGCAUAACGCAAUGUUAAUUCUUAGUUUCCUUGAAAUUUGGUUUUUUGAGAUGGUUAGCCAUGGAGGAUAUUGUCGGUUUCAAGUGCUACAAGCUGUUAAUUUGUGAAGUGGAUGAAUUAAAAUGCGUUUUAGUUGCAUAUUAUGACAUAACUGUACUUUGAUUGAUAUUAUAGUAAUUGGGAAGACAAUUAAAUGUAUGUCUCAAUCUAUUUGCACCUUUGAAUUGAUGCUUUCCUGACUUAGAUGUUGGCGGUAUUACGCAUCUGGGUGUUUUUAUUUUCAUCAAGUUUUGUAAGUGUUCACUACAAUUCUGCAAUUUAUUUCAGGCUAAAUUAAAGACUCGGGGGGCAGGAAUAAGGCCAUAUACCUGUUGUUAAAACUGAGGUAUGUGUGGCAUUGGCUUUAACAAUCUGACACUCUGUGAUGGAUUCUAGAUUUAAAGGUAUUGGCUGGGUGGGGGGCAUUUACCAGAAGUUUGAAACGUUGUGCCAUGAGAUGGAUAAUAUCGUGAAUCAGGUAUUAAUUCUUUGAUCCCAUUAUGAGGGAAUUGCUUCCUCCCAUCAUCAGCCAUGAUGUGGUAUCAGUUGGCUGAAUGAACUUAUGGUGAUUAGUAGUGUUUGAUGCACCCGAGAAUAUAUAUGCUUUGGCUUUCUUUCAUAAUGUUGUAAAUGGCUUUAUCUGCAGGACACUGUCAAAUAUGUUGAGAAUCAGGCACAAAGUGUGGGUAAAAGCAUGAAGCGAUUUUAUUCUGAUGUUAUGCUUCCUCUAAAACAUGAUGCCAAAGGAGUGGCUUUAAAAAGAAGCACUACAAUUGGUACCUCUUUUGAAUCAAAGGUUGCUGAAGUUGAUCCCAUUGAAAAACGGCCUGAUCAUGCUUCUAAUGAACUUUUCCAUUCAGUUCAAUUAAGUAUUCCGGCUUCUGUUGAUGCCUUUGAUGGGGCAGACUCGGACAAAAUGUCCCCACUAGUUAGUGAUGUUAUGAAAACUACAAGCUCUGAUGUUAGCAGAGAAGAAAAUGCCAUAAGGAAAAUGGCAUCCAGGUCUGAUGUACCAGAGCUGAUAUCUCAGAGUGAGGAUAAAUUCAUUGAUAUGGAGUUCCAAUCCCCUAAAAGGGAGACAAGAGUUAGUGAUAAUACUACAGUUGAUGAGGUAAACAAGCAGCUUGAGUGUGAGUUUGGUGAGAUUUGCCAUGUAGACCAACCAGGUAACCUUAAUUCUGUGGAUUCCCUUUUGGGGAAACAGUAUGUAACUUCAGAACAAGUUGCUGGUUUUUUGAACGAUACAAAACCUGAAGUGAACCCCGAGGAACAUUCCACAAUGGAAAAGCAUUCAGCAUCCAUGGUGUCAGGUUUACUAUCUCCUUUUGAGAAGGAAUCCUCUGGAUCUUCAAUGUUGAGCAAGUUCAUUGAUUGUAAUGAGAAAGAAAUGCCUUUCGAAGCUGAGGUUCCUCCUUCAACUUCAGUUCAGGAUGUGAGAAAGCCAUCUGUAUCUGAUGUUUCAGAGUCAAUCUUUCCUGGUGAGGAAGAAUCAUUUGGAGCUUCAAUGGUGAAUGAGAUUGUUAAUUGUGAUGAUGAAAUUCCAUCUGUUGUUCAAUCUGAUGUUUCUUCUGCCACUUUAGUUCAGGGUGACCAAAACGAAAGAAAAGAUAAAAAUGAUCGUGCAGGUGUCUCUGACUGUGUCUCAGAUGCUUCAGGUGAUGUUACUUCUUAUAAAAUGACCUCUUCAGGCAUUCGCUCUGAGGAAGUUAUGGCAGAGGUUGGAGUCGUUUCUCCUUGUGGUUCAGUAUUAAAGGAAAUUUAUUUUCCGGAGAAGAAUUCGCUUGAACAUUCACCUGCAAAAGCUUUAAUUUCUCAUGACCCCAUUAACGUGGCUGAAUUGACAGUACCCAUCUCGUCUGGCAAUGACUUGUCCAUGGCAUCUCCUGGUUAACAACUUGUUCUUACGUUAUGAUAAGCAUAUAUUUUCUCUCUUGCGGAAUUGAUUUUCAUCUUGUGAUAUCGCAGAAAAUGAUGCCUACAGAACUGCUAAUAGUCCCAAGUCCCUGACUGAAAUAUCAGGAAGCAAAAAUGUUUACUUUGGUGGUGAACCUGCUCAAAUUCAGGCUUUAUCCUUAUCUAAUAUUGGUAAGCAAGCAAAAUAUAUAGCUUGAUUGCUUUCUUCUCUGCCUUCCUUUUAAGUGUGUUUCUCCAUCCUCAUUUUUGUUAAUGUCAAAUAUCAAUAGCAGUAGUUGUAAUUGUGAUAUCAAUAAUGAGGAUGAUGAUAUUGCAAACUGUACAGUUCCGACUUUACUUGACAUAAUAAUAAUGACAAGAACUUUGUACCAAAAAAAAUGUUAGAACCUUCAGAAACCAAGCUUGUUUUAAUUGUGUCUAGUUUUUUUUCUGCCAAUUGGGAUACAAGCCACUAUUGUUCAAUAAUGAAAUAAUAGUAACGUUAAAAAGGAGGUUUCUUCAAAAGAUAUGAUGGUUAUAUCUUUAAACGGUUAGGUCAGUCAGCAACAUGAUCAAAAUGACUUUCAAAUUAAUCAAUAUGUGUGUUUGUGUGUAUUUCUAAAGUAUGAAGUCACUAGUCUUUGUGAGUGAUGAAUGGUUCUUUAUGUUAUGCAUUUUUGGUUAUUGGUUUGCACCAUAUCAUAGAAACUUUGUUUUACAUUGCCUUUUGGUAGAACUGUUGAAUGCAGAAGCUUAAUAACUGUAAUUUUACUUUCUCUAAUUCUGAAAACCAUAAACAGGACCUAUAAAUGAUUCCACUGAUGAUAUCAAUAUAUCUUCCAUGGAGACCAUUGAAUUGUAUGAUGGGGUGAAGCUCGAGGAUAGCUGUCAUAUUCCCGAUGUUACUGCACUUUAUGCUGUCUCUCAUAUAAUGAAUAAACACAAAUCAUACAAGGUUGGUCUGUCUGUCUCUCUCUCUCUCUCUCACACACACACACAGACAGGCAGGUGCAUUGGAGAUCUUCUUUGCAACAUGAGAAAUAGCAUUCUCCAAUACAAUUUUCUGUUUUCAGUAAAUUCUUAUGAGAAAAUUGUAUGUUCGCAAUGCAAAUACAGUUGAUAUUAUGAAUAUCUCUGCACACAAGUCAUUUAUCAUGCAAAGUACUGGCGAUUUAAUAGUCAGUUUUGCUUUAUGCAUCUUGAGACAUGCAUUACUAUACAAAUGAAAACGAACUUUAAGCUACUUUCAGUGUGAUGCUUCAGACAACUGGGACUGAAUUGGAAUGUAUGCCUUACCUGAUAGGAGCUUCUUUUACUUCCAAUAUAAUCCUUUGCUAAUUUUCUGAUUUUUCAUUUGCUUUCAAUAGAAAAGAAUCAAGGAUGCUUUAACUUCGAAAAAGAGGCUGGUGAAAGAGUAUGAGCAGCUAGCAAUAUGGUUUGGAGAUGCGGACAUGGGGUCAGACCACAAUCAUUUCCAAACUCCACAGCCGUCAUCCUCCACUGCAACCUCAAAGUCCAAAAAUACGCAAACGGAACUUGUAUGUGAUUCUGACUGGGAACUCCUUUAACCACUUAAACAAAUUAUGUUGAUCAGAUUAGCUUCAACCGGGUUCAUUCUCAAGCCUUUUCCUUGUGCCAUAAGAAUGAGAUACACUGUGAAUAUUCGUUUAUAUGCAGGUAAUCAGUCUGUCUUGUAAAUUAAAUUUCUAUCAUAAAUGGCACACAUUUCAAAGUUCAGUAUAUACCUAUUUCUUUUAUAUAUUUUUCUCAUACAUAUUCAGUGGACAUGAACCAUUUCUUCACACUCAAGCUUGAUAGCUGAGAUACCUUUUUGCAUCAUCAUUUUGACGUUCAUCUCCAAUUUUUUGACAAGCAAUACUGUUGAAUUUACAAAAAAUUUUGAUAACUCUGCAACAAAUAUGCAUACAAAAUCUCAUUCCAUGUAUCAGGUACUCCUGGUAAGCACCAAUGAAUGCAAUCAGCAAAAUUUAGUGGGUCAGCUUUUUGUUCCUUUGUCAAGAGCUUGCCUCUUCGUUCUCCGAAAACUGUCGUAUGAGCAUCUUUCCUAUAUUCUGAUAACUGGGUAAUGUUCAAAAAUGUGACAUUGAUUUUAAGGUCUUGUAAAACUUCAUGAAGUAUCUCCAUGAUAGCUAGGUUAGACCCCGUGCCCCAAUAUGAACCUUGGAUGGGGUAAGACUCAUUGAAGCAGUUUCCACGGCUGCCUGGCUUCCAUUCCCAGCUCCUAGAAUGGAAAAUUUCACAACAAUUAUAAGCUUUUCUUCCCAUUGUAAAUGAAAGAUUUUCUAAUUUAAAUAACCAGUAGAACUCACCACAAGUGUGUUGGGGACAUACUCAUGAAAAAAACCUUUUGAAGAUGAGGAUUAAUGGUGGAUUCUAACCAAUUCCCCCAAGUUUCCAUUGCAAUUCUAUAGGCAGUUGUGACAUUAUAUUCUUGAACAUCCUCCAUGGAUCCGUAGCUGAAACCAAUGGCCAAAAUGAGUGUCAAAUAUGGAUAUUAUUUUAUAGCAGAUUUGUGGAUUCUGAUUUAGAUGGAUAUGUUCAAUUUAGAUUUGUGAUUCCGAUUCAGAUGGAUAUAUUCAAUUUAAGAUUUUAUAACAGAUAUGUGGGUUCCGAUUUAGAUUGUACGUCGUACUUACGUAGCGUUGAUCUGAGGUCUAUACAUCCACCAUACAUAGCUCUCAAAUACUAACACAUCCACUCCUUCCCAGCUCUUGCCAUGUUUAGAUAUGGAGUCAAGGUUGACCAGACGUUUUAAUACAGUAUGAUUUGUCGCAUGGUCUGAGAUAGAUUCCACAAUGAAUGGAGCCCAAUAGUACUCAAUAGUUGCAUUGUACUCCUGUAUUAUAAUCACCAACAAGCAAAUCAUAUCACAUAAAUCUUGAAAAAGUACACUGCAAUUGUAAGUAUUAUGGCUAAUGAGGAUGCAGGUUUAAGUACCUUGGCUUUGAAGAUCUUCCUAGGAGGAUCUCUUUUAAAAGAUUUCUUCCCUUUGGGAACCACAGAUUGUACCAGGCAGACCAUUGAUUCAAAUUGGGCUCUUUGAACUGAAUCCCCUAUGAACAUCAACCUUUUGUCCCUCAAAAUGUCCAAUAGCUUCAAUGGAUCAAACCUGCAAGUCACUGCAUACUUUAACUAAUUCCCUAUUUACUUUCAUGUAUAUACAUGCAUAUACAUAUAUAUAUAUGUAUGUAUGUAUACCUUGGUAGGUUGCAUGCUUGAGGCUGCCAUCUCCAGUUUUGGUAAAAAGAAUCGGGCCUGCCAUUUUUUAGACAAGUUGUUUGUUUAACCAAGUAAGGGCAGCUAUUUUCUUCAUAAAGAGGAUAUGAGACAUUGUCCCAAACCCAUUUCCCUUCAAACAGGUUGCAGCUUUCAUCCAUCCGAUCUUCCGGUAAAACAAAAAUCGAUUUCCUCAGCUUCUCCGGUUUGCCAUAGUACUGAAAUACAUAGCUUUUGCCACUCUUCAAGCUAUCAAACACUAAUUGUGCUGUUCCUAAAACAAGAAGGGAAGCUAAUAAAACAGGAAACAAUGAUUGGAUCCUCUCUGCAGAUUGCCCCUUCAUUGAGCUCAAGAGGAUUAGGGAGACAAAGGGUUUUUCUUUUAGUUCAUUUGUUGUUACAGUUUUUUUUUUCAAUGUAUUUGAAGACUUAUCUUCAAACUUAAGCUCUCAAAAAAAAAAAUAGCACCUACCUGCUGUUAGGAUCAAGUUUAGAUAGCAAGUUAAAGAUGUUCAAUGCAACCUGUAACAAGUUUGUCAUCAUGAAUGAAAGUGAACCAACAUGCGGAAAUUGAAUCGAAAAUCAUAUGAUCUGUUGGUAGAAUAUGGGACUCGGUCAUAGUAACCAAAUUGGUAUCUUAAAAGUACCCCAAAGAAAAAAAAGAGAUUGAGAAAAGGUGCAACAUCAAAUUCCCAGAACUAAACAAUGAACAUCAAUGGUUGGUAGCUUUGAAUUUGCUGUUGUUGGUUCAUCUUUUACUUCUUUUGAACUUCAUAUAUGCUUUAGAUUGUGACACUUUGGGGGUUUAAAAAACUGAUCCAUGUGGAAACUUGAAUCAUAGAUUACGGCUAACAAUUGUUGUUGGUCUUCAUUUAGAAUCCAUGGAAUUGAACUUGGUUUCUUUUUGGUCAGUUUGGUGACAUGUCUGAUUUUUUUUUAUUUGUCAAUAAAUAUAUAACAACUAUUUUUGUUUUAAGAAUUAAAUGAGAAAUUGGCACCUGCACAUCUUCGUACUUAAAUUUUUGUUGUAUGUUAUAUAAUUAACUACCAACUAAAUACAAAUUGUCAAGUUUAAGGGCUAAAAUAUGUAUUAAUUCAUUAUAUAUUUAUAUAUAUUUAUUUUAUAUAAUUUAUAUAUUAUAAAAAUAGAAUUUUUGGAGUUUUAAAAUUUUUAUUUUUAUUUUUUAAAUGUAUAUAUAUAAUUUUAUAUAAUUAAUCUAUAACUAUUAUUAAAGUUAGCAGUAAGUGGAAUUUUUAGAUUCCACAAAUAAGGUCAUGGGUUGAUAUGUAUCCUAUAAAGUUAUAAUAAAACAUUAAAAUAAAUAAAUAUUAAAGAGAAACAUAUGUGUUACCACUACAUUUAACAUUUGUUGGUGAAUGCUUUUUAUUAUAAUAAAUGAGAUAUUUAAAAUAAAGAAAAAGUAGUUUUUAGGAAAGCAGUAAUAAAAAAAAGUAAAAACUAUUAGAAAAGUAGUAAUAAAAAAAAAGUAAAAACUAAUGCAAAAGUUACCAAUAUUUCAAAAUAUAUAUGAUUUAUUUUAUAUUUUAAGAUUUUUAUUUAUUUAUUGGUGCUACUAAGUAGAGUAAUUUCAAACACUUAAUAGUCAGGGGUGAAAUCAAAAAAUAAUAAUUAGUGAUCGAAAUUAAAUUGUAAUUUUUAUGAUAAUAAAAAUACAAUUUCAUCAUUUUAAUAGUUUAUAUUUUUAUAAUUUUUAAAUGAUUAAAUCAAAUUUUAUCAUUUUUUAGGGGGUCAAAAUACAAUAUUAUCUUUACAAAUUUAAAUUUUUUAAAAUUUUAAAGGGGAUUUUGUAUUUUUUUUUUAGAAAAGAUUUUGUAUGAUUUAUUUUGUAGUUUAGGAUUAUGUUUUUGGGCAAAUAACCAAAAAAGGCCGUUUUUUUUCAAAAUUUACCGAAAUGGGCUGGUUUUUUAAUUAUUUACCGGAAUGGGCCAUUUUUCGCGAAAUAGCGUCCACGUCAGCGCGAUGUCAGGGUACGCGCAGGAAAUCGCGUCCACGUCAGCGCGAUUUGCUGACGUGGAAGGAAAUCGCGCCCUCUAGACGCGAUUUGCUGACGUGGCAUGAACAAUGUGUUUUUAGCUUGGAAAACUUUAAAAGGCCAUAACUUUUGGCUCGGUUGUCCGAUUGAGACAAAAUUUUUUUUGAUUUCGAAUAAAUUUUCGAGAUCUACGCGCUGGAAAACUGCUUAGAGAUGAAUAGGGACUAAUUUGUAAAUUAUAAUUUGUUAGUUACGAGUAUAGGGACUAAAGUGUAAUUAUUUCAAAAUUAGCACGAAAUUUUUUUAUUUAAGAAUAUUUGAAUGUUAUGGAAGGAUGAAAUUGAAUUUGAAUUGAAAAACGAAGCUUAGAUUUGAAAAUAUGACUAUUUAGGUUUUAGGGACUAAAUUGAAUAAAAUGGAAAAUUUUAGGGAACUUCUCAAAAGUGGAAUGAGCUGACUUAUACCUAUAACAGGAUGAUAUAAGACAAUUCUGUAAAAAAAUAUCCGGUGUUUACUUCAAAUAAAUGAGGAAAAUAACGAUUUGAAUGUUUCAAAAUUUAAUUUUAAACCGAAAAAAUCAAAAUUUAGGGGCAAAAAAGGAUCUUUUUCGAUGAAAACUUCAGCAAACCGCCUUCAGCAGUUUUCCAGUGCGUAGAUCUUGAAAAUUUAUUCGAAAUAAAAAAAUUCGUCUCAAUCGGACAACCGAGCCAAAAGUUAUGGCCUUUCAAAGUUUUCCAAGCUAAAAACACACUAUUCAUGCCACGUCAACAAAUCGCGUCCUAGAGGGAGCGAUUUCCUUCCACGUCAGCAAAUCGCGCUGACGUGGACGCGAUUUCCUGUGCGUACCCUGACAUCGCGCUGACGUGGAUGCGAUUUCGCGGAAAAUGGCCCAUUCCGGUAAAUAAUUAAAAAACCGGCACAUUUCGGUAAAUUUUGAAAAAAACCGACCUUUUUUGGUUAUUUUCCCUAUGUUUAUAUAUAUAUAAAUAUAUUUUAUUGGUGCUACCGGGUUGAGUAAUCCCAUACACACUUAAGAGCUAUAUACUAGUAUUAUAGUUGUGUGACUUGAAUUUUAUCAUUUGUUAAAGAAAUAAAAUAUGGACCAUGCCACAUAAGUAAAAUUCAUAUAGAACUACACUUCUUUUAUUUGACAUUGAUUAGAAUAAGAUUUUUUUAACCUUUAAAUAGAUGUAAUUGAAACUCUUCUUGUGUCAUUCGUUUUUCAAUAUUAGUGAAUUUAUUCUCCUCUGCCUGAGGUUUUUUCCCGAAAAGAUUUCCACGUAAAAUCUGUGUGUUCUUAUAUUUCUUAUUUUGCUAUCCUUCUAUUGCCAUUAUCGAUGUCUAUUAUAACAAUUAGUAUAGAUUUUGUAUUAUUUAUCGUAAUGAUUAUAUUUUAAGAUUAAAUUAUUUUCCUAAAAAAAAAGUCUAAAUUCAUUUGCUUUCAAUGGUUAUAGAUGUGAUGAAGAUUUCUUAAAAUGGUUUUUUUUUUUUUGCAAUAUAUAAUAAAUCCUGUCAAAAUUAUUUUCGUGUUAUGUAUUAAUUAAAUUUAAAAAAAUAUGUCUUCUUUUGAACUCUUAUGUGUCAUGUUUUAAAUUAUUAUACGUUCUGUAUAAUUGAUUAUAAUUGUUCAAUUUUUAAAAAUAUUAUAUGUAAGCUUUAUUUUUUUUAAGUAUUAUGAAUUUAUAAAUUUAUUUGGUUGAUUGAGUCUUAAUUUGGCAGUGCACAAAUCGAAAGCUAAAAUCUUCCAGCUUCUAAGCACAGAUUCGACCCAGUUAAUUCCCUGCAUAAUUCGAGAUAGACCCAUGGUGGGCUUUUGGCAAAGAUGGCGUUUUGAUAAAUUCGUGUCAAUGUGAAGAUUAUUAGAGCUGUGUGACCCAAAUUCUAAGAGAUUGCUUGCAAGUGAAGUUAAAUAAAAUAUAUUUUCUCUCUAGAAGAUUUAGUAUUUAUUAGUAUAAUAUAUAUAGCAUUUAUUAGCAUAAUUUAUUUGACCUAAGAAUUUUGUCUAUAAAUAAGCUAUUUUACAACCUUAGAAAAAACACCCAUUAAAUAUUAGAACUCAUAAUAUUUUUUGAAGAAUUUUGUGUUUACGUUUUAAAGGUUCUUUAUUUUUCGGGGUUUAGUUUUUAUCUCCAUCUUUGUACUUUUCGUUCUUUUGCUAUUAUAGUAAAAUUAUCUUUACCCGUGAUUUUUUAUCCUCUUUGGAUGAAUUUUUUCACGUUAAAUUUGUGUGUUCAAUUUCUCAAUUUCUUCUGCUAUUUUUACUUGUUCGUUGUUUAACCGAGUCGAUCCGUAACGUGAAGCUUAAGUGUUUGCAAGUGUUUAAGGUUUCCAAUUGAGUGGGGUAACCCUUUUCAAAACCUUGUCCAUCAAACAUCUAGUAAACUAAAGGGACCACUCCAAUUUGUUUCAGGUAGAUAAUUGACCUUAAAGUGCAAAAUGAUAUUUUUAAGAUAUGGAAGAUGGAAAACUUGGGUUGGAAAUUUUCCUUGUAGAUGACAGGAAGUGAGACUCAUAUGCUUCAUUGAGACAGUCAAGUUAAGGAAAGAAUAGGGUACAACCAAAGGCAAAUUUAUAUAGUGAAGGACCAUAUAUAUUUUCUAAUUUUGUAAUGUUAUGGACAAGCAUGUUAAAAUCAUGGUUCCUAAAAGUCAAAAGUCUAUUCUUACUAAGAUCAAGUGAAACUAGUUGUGACAAAAGAGAGAUUUCAAGUGGCACAAAACCAGUGAGUCCCAUGGCACAGAGAUUGAGAUGUGUUAAGACUCCUUAACUUGCUAAACUCAUAUGGGAUUUCAGAGUUGUUGAAAUCAUUGCCAGCAAGGUUGAGCCAUCGGAGGUUUUGGAGUGAGAAGAGGUCACUAUUUGAUUGGAGAGAACCAUUUAACCCACUACAACUGAGAUCAAGGCCAACCACAUUGCUUUCCUUGUUAUCACACAUCACACCCUUCCAUUUGCAGCAGUCAAUUCCUUCAUCCCAAGAAUCCGCCUUAAAAGAAGAAUCAAGAGUAUGAACAGUAUGUUGCCGAACUCUGCUCGGGAGGACAUAAAUGUGGUGGUGGAAGAGACGAAGAAAGGGAUAGCAGCAAUGAAGAAUUCAACAAGACAAGAAGGAAGCAGGUUGACCAACAACCCAUCUUUAUUUUACAAAUUGAAACCAAAAAGAUAAAUAAGAGUUUGGCUGUGGAGUUGCUUAUAUAUAAGUUUCAACCGGAAACAAUUACCAUCAGAGCAAACCACUACCAAGUACCAACCUUUGGCAUUUCUCAACUCACUCAUUUACCCUCUUUUUUUUUUUUUUAAUCUUUUGAUUGGACAUAUCCAGCAAUGGCCGGAGACUUUGAAAUAUUGAAGAACAACAAUUAUUAAGACCAACCCAUCAUCGUAUAGACUCCAUUUGUCAUUAUCGCAGUGACGUUUCCUUAAAAAGGUGCAGGGUCAAACUCCCAAAACUAGACAACGAACAUCAAUGGUUGGUGGUAGCUUAAAUUUUUUCUGUUGCUUCAUGUUUUACUUCUUCUUGACUUUAUAUUUGCUUUUUAGAUUGUGACACUUUAGGGGUCUGGAAAACAGAUUUGAACAGUAGAUUAUGACUAAUUGCUGCUGAUGGUCUGCUGUUUUAGAAGCCAUGGAAUUGAGCUUAAUUGCUUUUUGGCCAGUUUGGUCAUAAAUCCAUGUUUGGUCUUUUACCAUUCUUUCUCAAUAAAUACUUAAAAUAAAUCUCAGAAUUAUACACUAACUUUGAUUCGAUGUGUAAUUCAAUACAUGAAUUUUGAUUUGGUGCAAUUAUACACAUAAAAAUUUUAUUGUAAUUCAAAAAUGUACAUGAAAUUUGAUUUUGAUUCAAUAGUAUAUAUUAAAUAAAUAUUUUAUAUUUAUAUUUAUUUUAUAUUAAAUAAGUACUCAAUAGAUAAACUUAAAAUGGUGCUCUAUUAAUAAUUUUGUUAGUAGUUUAUGAAAACUAAGUCAAAUUAAAAUUUAAUAUAUAAAAUUGCAAGAAGUCAAAAUUCAUGUAUAAUAUUACUAACAUGACACUAUUUAUUUUAUAUGUAUUAUGUUAACAAAUAAUUUAAAAAUAUUCAAAAUAAUAAAAAAUUAUGAACUAGAAAUUAUACAAAUUCAAAAAAAAAAAAUCAAGAGAAACAUGGGUGAAGCCAGAAAAUUCUUUUAGGGGAGGCCGAAAUGCAAUUUUAAUUUUUAAUAGUCUAUAUCUUUAUAAUUUUUUUAAAAAUAAAUUAAAUUUUUAUAAUUUUAAAAGGGUCAAAAUAUAAUUUUACUUUUAUUAAUUUAAAAUUUUAAAAAUUUCUAAAGAACCUAAAAAAUAAUUUUUUAUUUUAAAAAUUCCGGAGAUACGAGCUCCUGAAUUCGCGUCUGAAGAGAAAUACACAUAAAUUGCCAUUGCCAAAAUCUAAAUCGCCACAAAAACCAAAAAAAAUGAGCCAAAGUUUACUCAAAGAUAAGCAAACUUAUCCUUCACUCAUUUCCUACCAAAUGAUUUUAAAAGCAUGUCAAAUUAAAUCAUCCUUUUUAUAGAAAGAAACACAAAUAUAGAAUACUAACUGUAGGUGGAAUGACUCCUUCCCGUCAGCAUUAUCUUCUACCCCUAAUCUAACCUUAUAAAUUUUAAAAAUUAUGAAGAUUAUCUAAUCUAAAAAUUAUGAAAAUGAUCUAACUUUAAGAUUAAUUAUAGGAAUGAUCUAAUUUCUAUUGUAGAGUGGAGGUGCCGCCACAUUUUUAGGUGGUAUCACCUUCAAAAUCUCCCAAUCAUACUUUAAUCAUUACAAAAAAUUAAAGAAAAAAAAAAUUUUUUGGUGUCACCUAACAAAUUGGCAGCACUGGACUGAAGCGUGCAAAGGCAAAACUUUCAGGGACCUGAUGAAGUAAUUACUCUUUUCAGAAUAUGUCGCCUAAUACUGGGUGAGCGUUUGAUUGAAUCGAGUGAAAAUUUUUCGAGAUAGAGUUCGCAAGUCCUAUUUUAUUAUCCUAACUCAAUUUGAAUUUUUUUUAAUCGAGUGAAUGAAAUUCGAGUCGAGUCGAAUCGAGUCGAGUCGAGUUGAGUCAAAUCAAGAAUUAUUCGAGUUUAAAUUAAAAAAUUAAACAUAUUAGAAUAAAAAUAUUGCUACAGUAUAAUUCAAUGUCAGAACACAUAAAUUUAAAACCAUAUAUCUUUGAAAAACUUUUCAAAGCAAAAUAAAAGAAAAAUAUAAUUGAGUAUCAUAAAUUUGAAUAACUAAUUAGGUUCCAAAAUUAUUAUUUUAGAAAAUUUUUAAAAUCUUAACUUUUUUAUAUAUUUUUUAGAAUUUUUAGAAUUUUUUAAAUAUAAAUUUUGAAAAUUUUAUAAAUAUUUUGAAUUUUAAAAAUUAUUUUGAAAUUUUUUUCGUAAUUUUUGUUGAAAGAGAGAUUAAUUUGUUUAUUUUCAAAGUUGAGAGGGACCAAAAAGGUAUUUGCACCAAUAUAUUAUUUGAAUUAUUUGAAUUAUUUGAGAUAUUCGAAUUAUGAAAUUCAACUCAACUCAAACUUGAAACUAGAACCGAUUUAUACGAGUCAAGAUUUAUUCGAGUUGACUCGUAUAAAUCGAAUAACUCGAUUCAAUUUAACUCAAAAUUUGAAAAAAGAAUUUUGAGUUUUUUGAAUCAAAACGAGUUUUACUCACCCCUACCUAAUAGUAUAGCGACACCAAAUUAAACUUUUGAUUUAUUUGCAAGUUAAGUCUGUCCCCUUUUGAAAUUAAUUUUAAAUAACCCUUAAAAGAUAUAAUAAUAACAAAAAUAAACUCUUCUCAUUUUUUUAUUUUUUUAAAAACAAUAAACUUAAAAAAGUAUAUAAAAUUCUUAUUUAAAUUACUCAAUAUGUCCCUAAAAUUUUUUUUCUCAAGUUUAUCUAAAUUCAAAUAUUCUAGGAAAUAAAUUGAAAAUGUUAAAAUUUAGAUAAACUUGAGGAAAAUUUUUUUAGGGAUAUAUUUGAGUAAUUUAAAUAAGAAUUAUAUAUAUAUUUUAAUUUUGUUGUUUUUAAAAAAAUAAAAAAUGAGAAUGGUUUAUUUUUUGUUAUUUUUAUAUCUUUUAAGAGGUAUUUAAAUUUAAUUUUAAAAAGUACAGAUCUUAUGCCCUCGUACUCACAAGUGGCACCUAUUCAACCAAUUCAAAAAGGAUAAUUAAUCUAUUAUGUCCCUGAACGUUUUGCCCCUUACAUGCUUCAGUUCGGCAGUGCCACUUUAUUAGGCGACAUCAAAAAAUUCUAUUUUUAUUUUUUAUAAUAAUUAAAGCAUGAUUGGGAGGAUUUUUAGGGUUGUGCUGCCUGUGAAAGUGGCUGCACCCAACUCUACUAUAGAAAUCAAGACAUUCUCAUAAUUAAUCUUGAAGUUAGGUCAUUUUCAUAAUUUUUAAAAUUUAUAGGGUCAUUCCUAAAAAAACCCGCUAACCAGAAGAUCGUCCAAUCUAGCAAAUGCCUCUGCCUUUUCCCGAGCCAUAACAACAAAAUGAUUCGCACAACAAUUACCCUCUAGCAAGAUAUGGUGCACCUCAACGACCCAACCCUCACUUCUGAGAGCCAAACUAUCUGCAACAAAGGUCCCCAUCGGGGGGCUCGCGUCAAACGACCGUGAAAGCAUCUGAACAAUAAGAAUCGCAUCUAAUUCGAUUAUUAACUGAGUGGCACCAAGUGCCCGAGCUAAACACAACCCUUCGCGUACCCCCAACAAUUCCACUUGAAGACUGUUAGUACAUCUGAUUUUCAACAUGAAGCCACAGAUCCACGCUCCUCUCUCAUCACGCACCAGACCGUUAGUUAAAGCCACUUGUAUCGUUGCGCUAAACGCGCCAUUUGUGUUCAGAAUGCAGCAACCCAAACGGAGGUGGUUGUCAUAUUGUACCCAGCGAGGAGUAUGUUGUAUUCUUGGAACCACUAACUGAUUCUCUUUGCCAAUCUCCCAGGUAAAUUGUUGCGCAUAACCAAUGACCUGUAUUGGCAAUCUAAGCUCCUCUUAAAGCACUCUUAUUACGAGCUUUCCAUAAUCCCUCAAAAAGCCAUAAUGAAUAAAGUAUCCCAUAGUGACCAUCAAAAUGAGGAAUAGAUGGUUAAUCAAAGUUGUCGGUGACCAUCACUUUGUU
This 76673-nucleotide long non-coding RNA is filed under the name Gossypium barbadense (sea-island cotton). Its description in RNAcentral is "long non-coding RNA (GBAR_LNC016652)". The record is from RNAcentral. Lineage: Eukaryota; Viridiplantae; Streptophyta; Magnoliopsida; Malvales; Malvaceae.